Molecule: long non-coding RNA, 65226 nt
Filed under: Sorghum bicolor (sorghum)
Lineage: Eukaryota; Viridiplantae; Streptophyta; Magnoliopsida; Poales; Poaceae
Description: long non-coding RNA (SBIC_LNC001159)
Rfam family: MIR5387 microRNA precursor family (bases 28565-28658)
Source: RNAcentral
UAGCUAGCAACGUUGAUCAUUGACCAAUGUUCUCGAUUCAACCGAUCAGUUUUUGGCCGGAGGAUGGUAGAUGGGAGUUGGUGAUGCGUACGUUGGCGCUGGGGGGUGGUACUCAGGCUCAGGCUUUGGUUUGGGCUCAGGCUUAGGCUUCGGUGGCACAGGUUUCUUGUGGAAGUGGUCAAAGAACUUGUGAUAGUCAUGGUCCUUGUGGAAGUGAUCAAGGAAGUGCUUCUUGUCAAACGAUAUUUCUUUCACAACCGGAGGGUGGUAGAUCGGAGUCGGAGACCCGUAUGUGGGUGUCGGGGGGUGGUACUCAGGCUUAGGCUGCGGCUUUGGCUUUGGUGGCACGGGCUUCUUGUGGAAGUGGUCAAAGAUGUGGUGGUAGUCAUGGUGUUUGUGGAAGUCAUCGUGCAAGGGAUUCUUGUCGAACAAGUGCCUGGCAGGAGGGUGGUAGAUUGGUGUAGGUGACCCAUAUGUUGGCGUUGGUGGGUGGUACUCAGGCUCAGGUUGAGGUUUGGGCUCUGGCUUGGGCUUGGGUGGCACAGGCUUCUUGUGGAAGUGGUAAAAAAAGUGGUGGUAGUCAUGGCCUUUAUGAAAGUGAUCAGGCUCAGGCUGCGGCUUAGGCUGCGGCUUGGGCUCCGGCUUUGGCUUUGGUGGCACGGGCUUCUUGUGGAAGUGGUCGAAGAAGUGGUGGUAGUCGUGGUCCUUAUGAAAAUGGUCGAGCAAGGGCUUCUUGUCAAACAAAUGUCUAGCUGGAGGGUGGUAGAUCGGUGUGGGUGACCCGUAUGUUGGAGUCGGAGGGUGGUAUUCUGGCUGUGGCUUGGGCUCUGGCUUCGGCUUUGGUGGAACUGGCUUCUUGUGGAAGUGGUCAAAGAAGUGGUGUGGCUUAGGUUCUGGUUCUGGUUUGGGUUCUGGCUUCGGCUUCAGCGGAGAUGGCUUCUUGUGGAAGUGGUCCAAGAAGUGGUGAUAGUCGUGGUCCUUGUGGAAGUGAUCAACCAUGUGCUUCUUGUCGAACAACUGCCUUGCUGGAGGAUGGUAGAUUGGAGUUGGGGAUCGAUAUGUUGGCGUAGGGGAGUGGUACUUCGGCUGCGGCUUAGGUUCUGGCUUUGGCUUUGGCUCUGGCUUCGGCUUCGGUGGCACAGGCUUCUUGUGGAAAUGGUCCAACAGGUGCUUCUUGAUCGGCCCGCAUAGGGUUGCCGACGCGCAUUCUGCCGACGGGUAGUCUGUCUUGCCAGGGACCACGACGAAGUUGCCAUCGGACGACUGCGGCACAAUCCUGGAAGGUUCCUGACCGGGGCACGGGGUGCCCGCGGCGCUGUGGAGCUGCGCAACGCAGUCAGCGGCGUGCAUGUCCGUGCUCAGCGGGAUGCUGAAGGCGCCGGAGACAUCUAGCUUGCCUAUGGCCUUGCUCUCGUACUCGCCUUUGCUGUUCCUGCACUUGAUCGCCACCUCAAGACCUGAAAUGCAUGGAUCGAAAAGCACCGUCAGUACCAGCAGCUAGCUUCUUCUGACCUUACUGAUCAGCUUAAAGCAUUGAGUAUCCACUGUUUAUGUUAUUAGCUUAAUUAAAUAUGCAUGUAUAUUAUUCCUAGUAUAUUUACCCUUGAAUGCCGCUUCGGCCUUCAUGUUCUUCCUGGUGCAAUCGGCGCAUUUGGCGAGGCCGAUAACCACCGAGGACGCCUCACUGGAGGCAGCGCUUGCGACGGCUAUUACCAUCAGCACGGCGAAAAUGCCGGGGAGAAGGCCCCCAUGUACCGCAGCCAUGGCUAGAUGGAUGACUCGAUGAGAUGAAGAAGAGGCAAUGCAAUGCCUGCCUUAUAUAGGCCUACGCAUUGAUCAAACACAGCUCGAUCUUACAUGCAUGCACGCAUGAUCACGAGCUGGUGAGGACUGAGGCGCCAGCACACAUAAUUUUGGCGCCGAAAUUGCAGACCGGCCGGGAAUUAAUGCCGUCCAUUUGAGUUGAUCAAUCUCUGUCUGUCCAUUCAUCAUGUCCAGUCGGUUGGUAGUAGUUGGAGUUGUGUAAGUUACGUCAGUUGCGGCACUUUGGAUUUGCAUGCAUGCAGCGCCAGUACAUGCCCUGUGUAAUGCAGGUUUCCAUUGGUCACAUCGGAAAAGCAAAGCUUGUAAAAGCGCGUGUCCGGUGUGCUCAUCUGCUGGACAAUAAAUUUCAGAACAGUAUAGUAUAGUUUGGUUUGUUUCAGAAAAGGGACAGUACUUUCGGAAUGUGGAUACAAAAUAAGUUCUUUCUGACCGCGUGUAGUUGGAUACAACAUAUAGUAGCACAAAAAAGCUCUAUGAUGACGGUAGUGUCUAAUUUAUAGACGCGGCGAGCCCAAUUCAAGAACCGCCACUGUAAACCCAUUUACACUGACAGUUCACUUAAGGAAACUGUCAGUGUCAAUAGUGCAUUUCCACUAGCGGUUUCCUUAAGUGCUGUGCAAAUAGAUUUACACCAGUGGUACCUUAUGUCAGCCGCCAGUGAAGUUUUUGGUAUAAAUACUCAUUCUUCCUCCACGAGUAGAACUGUUUCUCACAACCACCUUCUAUUAGAGGCCAUUUUGGAGGUCUAGAUUUUUAGGAGGUUGCUAAGAAAUGUUAGUUUAUAUCUCUCUUGCCUCUUUUUGUUCAUUCUUGCUCAAUUUGAACCACUUUAUGGAUCUAGGAUUUCACCAUAUGUUAGAGAGAAGAAUAGCUAGGUUAUUAUCUUUAUUUGCUCAAAUGAUCUUAAGAUUGUUAGAUGAUGUCUCUCCUCUAUCCCUUUUUAUUUUUGCUUCUCACUUUAGUUUAUCCAAGAUAUAUUUAGUUAUUUUCAUGAAUUGUGUGUUCUUGUCUAUUUAUGUAGAUAGAGAAAUAUAGGUUCUUUUGUUAGUUUUAUAAAUUGUGUAGUUUUUUGUCUUCAUUUCUCAAUUUGAUUUAAUUAUCCACUAUGUAUUUAUGUUUCAUGAAUGGUGUGUUUGUAUGUAGAGGGGAAGAUAGGUUUCUUAAUUAAUUAAGAUUAUUGUGUUUAUUAAUUAGAAAAUAUGAAAGAGGUUUCUUUGUUUACCACUAUGUUGUUGACUGAGGUUACUUAGUACGGUUAAUUUUAUUCUUCUAACUUUUAGCGAACCUUGCUUCAAGGUCUAUAAAUUGGAAAAUAUACAAGUGGGAGGUUUUCAUCUUCAUUUCUUCGAAAGAGGUUGGUGAUCAAAAGAUUAGAUAAUAAAUAUCUCUAGACAAUCAUACUUGUUUUGCAUUGAUUAUAAUUAAUUCAUUAUAUUUUUUAUAUGUAAUGAUGGAGAGGUCAUUUUGGAUGUAUAAUUUAUCAAGACUAAAUCCAUCAUAUAUACCCGAGGUCCCUAGGUUUUUUGAUGCUGACUAAGAACCAUGCUUGGAGAACAAAGAUGAAGCACAUCUAUUGUCCAUGCAUAGACUGUACAAAUGUUAUUGUAUUUGAUGACACUAAAUCAAUCAUUUAUUAUUUGGUCUAACAAGAAUUUAUGAUGGAUUACUUGUUUUGGACAAAGGGUAGCUUGCGCCUUAUACAAAUAGAAACCUUACGAACAUCGACGUUGAUGCUGAUGGAUUUCCGUUCCUACAUGAGAUACAACAACCUCUUUCCUAGAGUGAACAUGUUGUGCCAAAUGUUACGGUUAUGGAAGAUGUAGAAUUCUUAGGGUAAAGUUGCAUCAUCAUAUGGAUCCAUGAAUAUUAUUAAUGAAAGGUAUGGAAGCCCUGAUAAAGGCUGCAGAAGAGACUUUGCACGACGAGUCUAAGGGUUAUACCAAAGAGUUCAUGACACUGCGGUCUAUGCUAAAGUUGUCGAUGUUAAAAGCUAGAUAUGGUAUGUCUGAUGCUGGCUUGGAUGCAUUCUUGUGUAUUAUUGCAGACAUGCUUCCAAAGGGAAACAAUGUGUGUGCUAAGACGUACUAUGUAAAGAAACUAAUCAGUCCGCUCACUAUGGGUAUGGAGAAGAUCCACGCGUGUCAUGAUGACGAUGAUUAUAAGGACUUAGAGAGUUGUCCAAAGUGUGGUGCAACUACGUACAAGACAAAUAAAGACUAUCGAGAGAAAGAGUGUGUUGCCUCCAUUUCUAAAGGAAAGAAGCGAAAGGAGACCAAAUAGAACAAACAAUAAAGUUCAAAAUCUAGAAAAAUAUUCCUACUUUGAUGAUGUGGUGUAACACCCUAGUGUUAAGUAUGCAUUAAGGCUUCAUCAAACUUAUAUGAGCAUUGGCACAAGCAUGAGCAUCUCAUGUGUUGUGCUAUAUUUUAUGCAUAUCUUUUAAAUGUGAAUUAAUUUUGAUAAUUGUCAUGCUAUGUCUAAAAAUGCUUGUUAUGCCUAGAUUAAAUUGUUUUAUGCCUAAACUUAAAUUAGAAAAUUUAAGUACCAUUUUUGGAGCCCUAGAAUUAAAGGAGUUGAUUUAAAUUAAAAUUUCGCAAAAUAGAUUUAUUUCAAACCUAGAACUAACUUUAAAUUGAAAUUCAAAAUCCAUUUGGAUUCUUGAUUUGCACCAUAAAGCAAAGUUAUAGAGAAUUUUAUUUUGAGCAACUUUUAUUUUUGGGUCAACUCCUGAAAAUGCAUUUAAAACAGUGUUUAAAAAUUAAUUGAGAAAAUAAAUUCAAAAAAAAGAGAAGGGAGGAGCGCCCUACUGGGCCACGCACCUUGCUUCUGGCCCAGCAGCCAAAGCCGGCCUGGCUCGUGAGCACAUCCCCUUCCUCCUCAGGCGCGCACUGUGGCCAGGUGACGUCGUGGCCGACCGUGCGUAGGCCAGCCGCGCCACGUGGAUGGCAAGCAACGGCAGCGGCUACGACAGUGCCUGCUUGCCCGAGCAGAAGGGGACGACAGCGGCUCUGCGUUGUCCACCUUCUCCACUCCACCCCGACCACACCUCUCUUGCUCUCGUCUCACAAAGCAGAGCUUGACAGCACCAUCGUCCGCCAUAGCCGCUACCGAGCUCCAGCGUCGACGUUCCAUCUUGUUGGUCGCUCCCGCCCUCGAUUCCUCCUGUCCACCGCUCCGUCUUCAUUCUCCUCAUCUCUGAAUGAGUCGGAUUGCCUCCCUUGGCUCAAGGUGAGGGAUAGCCGGCUGUCUUCUUCUUCUCUAGUGUGAACGUCGCAGCGGUUCAUGUGGUCAGCAAGGCCGCCGAGCCUCUUCCUCCUUCCUUUUGCGCGCAUCACAUUCGCCUUGACCUCGCCAAGCUCGUGCGUGCUCUGGUUCAUGCUCUACGCCGGAGUUCGUGAGUCCACCAUCCAGCAGAGCCAUCGUGCCGCCAUGGCCGGCGACGAGCUUGCUUCGGGGUGUCUCCAGACAAACCACCGCGCGCAUCCUGUUCGCCUAGGCUCGGGGAACACACAUGAGUGCUCGGUGUUGCCGUAGGGUUCACCGACAGCGAGAUCAGGCUCGCCGGAGUUCUCCCCCUCUCUGUGUGGCUAACAGGUGGGGUCGAGGACCCACUUGUCUAUACCUGUGUGCGGAUGCGGGUGCACUGCACCGGGUACACCUAGUAGAACUCGCCGAGACUUGAUUCUCAAUUUAAAGAAAUGUUUUUCAGAUAAUGGUUUAAAGCUUGUAAAAAUCAUAGCUUGAUUUCUAUUGCUCCAAAAAGUUUAAACAAAUUUUGUUAUGCUCUAUAUUAGUAGAUCUAAAGUUCGGUGUACUUGGUGUGAGACUUUUCUGUGAAGGUUUAUUUAAAUCUUGAAAAUAUUGAUUUCUUAUAAAAUAUGCAAAAAAUAAAAUAUAGCUCUGAAAAAUGUACUUCCUAUCUUGGUACAUUUGCACUACAAUCUAGCCUCUGUGAAAAAUGAGGAACCUAAUAUUACUCUACAAAAAUAAUUAUUAGUGAAUUAAUGCUUGCAUGAUGAUGGUUUAAGAUUUUUAAUAAAUAAUAUAUAAAUGCAAUUAAUCUAAGAAUUUUUGUAGGGCUCUCCUAUGUUACAAAGUAUUAAGGAAAAAUAUUAAAUUUGUUGUCUGACACUUUUGUAUGUAUAGAGUAUUUUCCAUUGUUUAUGUUUAGCAUACUUGUGAUUUUUGUGUGGGCCAUUUUACUUACCCAAAUUUUGUGAAAGUUUUAUGGUAGACUAUAUGUGUGAUCUAUAAGCUACUGUAAUUUUUAUGGAACUUAUUGAAUACCAGAGGUAUAUGUUGUUGUUAUUGGCCUAGUAAUAAAUAAAUAAAUAAAGAAUUAUUUUAUGUGAACUUGAAAGUAAUUAAACAGUUUGGUGUAUCUUUGAAGCAUUCUAAUGUGUGCUGCUUUAUCUUGGUAGGUGUAGAAAAAGAAUAGAAUAGAAUAACUUGUACUUAAGUUACAUGUUCUUGGAUGACAUUGACUACCUAGUACAAAUAGAUCACAUUGUCUUUUUGUCAUGACUCCCCUCUACCGGAGAGGAGAUAUGCACAUACUCAGUAAAUAACACAUCAUGACCACCCUUGUGAUCAUCUGCAUAAUCAUGCACCAUAUGUUCACCAUCCACUUACUUGAGCAUAUGCAUCAUACAGGCUCGUAGAAGAACGACGUGGUGACCGAACCUGAGGAGCCGGAGGUGACCGAGGUGCAGGAGAUCACUGAGGUGGAAGAGCAAGAAGAGGAGCUGCAAGAGUGUCUAGAUCACAGUCCUAGUUCUUUCGAGAAAGGCAAGCCUUGCUCCCCAAAUUUUCUGCUAAUUAUAUAUAUAUCAUGAUGGUUAUAUUGUUAUAUUAAGUUAUAGGAGUUGCUUGAUACCAUUGAUGUAUUGAAUAUCCCUUGGAAUAUCACCUUUCUACAUACCUUAUCCUAUGUAGUAUGGGCUCAGAGUCAAUGCUUAGCUCUGCUUAGCACAGUAGAAGUCGGAUGAUUCCCUGUCACCUGCGAGCUGUAGGUGGUCACCAAAGGUUUGGCAGUAUGUUUGCUAUCAUAAGUAAUAACCAAAUGUUGGGAAGCAAAGCUAAGACCGGACGAAACCUUUUGGGGGUGUUGGACCAUAGUGAUUCUGUCCUUGUCGAUUAAGGACCGAUCAUUGGUGGUCCUCUUGUCAUGUUGAACGCAUACCCUACACUUAACUUGAAGGAUAAGUUGUUCUGACUGUGAAGGUGGGACGCUAUUUGGGCCAGGAAUUGACCUGAUGUACGCACUGUAUUGGAGAUAGUUGAGGAGACUGAUGAGGGCGCGACGUGCAACCUUGGUAUGCCUUGGAUACCUUUGUCAUCGGAACGGUCCUUGGGUAUGGUGGUGCCUGCUGAACCGUGAAUUGGUCCUGAAUAGUGCAUCCGGUGACCUGUAGCUUACUUGAUCAGUGAGUGUGGCUUAUGUAGGGAAUAAAAUCACUAGCUGGUUAGGAAUUGUUUCGAAUCAUCAUCGCUCCUGGAUAGUAAGCACUUGACUUGAGCUUUGUCAUCGUAUUAAUGUUUAUGGAACACUGGAUGGUUAUGAGAUAUUGAUGAAGCUGGAAAAGCUGCACUAAAUUGGUAUUAUUGUACUGAAUCAAGUGAUUGCUAUAGUACAGGUGUUAAUCUAGAUGAUAGGUUAAUGAUACUUAACUUGAGCUAAUUAUCUAAAAAGGUUAUUUACUUAGUAACUUAAGAUUUUAUGGAAAGUUUGUGUCGAGCUACCCCUUUAUACAGCCUUACAUGAUCUUUGGUGUCAUUUAUUUCUGUUUUGUGAUAGGUAAGUCUAGCUGAGUAUAUUCUCAUAAUCAGGGCUCUGUUUCCAUGUUGUUUUGCAGAUGGGCAGAUGUACUAUGGGUACUGUAUUAACUGUCUUUACCUAGCUAUGGGUGAUGCUUAGACCAAUGGUGUGGUCACUUUGUCUUAUCUUUUGAUUUUGUGGGAAUCAUCAGACUCUAGCACUGUAAUCAAACUAAGUUUGUGUGUUUUCUAAAACUAUUCACUUCCGCUACUACUUUCAAGACUUGGUUUGUAAUAACUAAAUUCAAACUCCAAUGUACUGAAAUGUUUGUCAAUGAUAUGUAUUGUAUGAAUGGCGACCACUGAACUUAUUACGAUCUCUGUUAUGUUUGAGGAAAUUUUGAGAUCCUUCGAGAUUUCAUGGACUACCGGGAUUAUAUGGGCUUAAGUCUUUUAUAAUUUGGACAGUUCUGUUACAGCUAGUGUUGGAGCCAGUUUUAGCGGAUUACAGUUCAUAAGUAUAUUUAAAACAAAUUAAAUUUGUUUACAAAAACUGAUUAUCCAUCACGAAUUAUCAAGGUGUUAAAGUGAAUUUUGGAAAAUUAUAAGUGUGCUAGUGGUCAUAUCCUUUAUGUCUAGUUAAAGACUCUAAGGUGGCUAUUUAAGUACUGACUUGUUGGUUUAUGCAUCAUAUUUCUCUUUCAUUGCUCAUAUGGCAUUGUUGACAUUUACUACCGCCAUUACUAAAAAUAUAGAUAAACCCUACCUCUAGCAACAACGGCAAAAAUGCUCGGUAUAUAAUUAACUUAUCAUUAAGCAACUAGCCACUUCUUAAUGACUAACAUUCCUAAACAUGAAGUAGGUUGUCAUCCCUAAUUAUAUUGCUAGGAAUUUAUUAUAUAUUCACAUGUACUAUUGUGACUAGGCAGAAAUAAAAGAUAUGAAUAUGAUUAUAAACUAAAUGGGUUCUAGAAGUGGACAGAUAAUUAUACCAUUGUAGGAUUUUACCUAGGGAAGUAUCCAGGUUGUCGAUUUAUAUUUAUACCACUGGGAAGGCUAUGUGUUAAACAAUAAUCUAUUAUAUUGAUAAGAAACUAUAUAGGAUGAAUAAAUGAUAUUACCAAGGUUGUCUAAUCUACUCAUAACAGGUAGAGGUCACAAGAUAAAUAUGGGUAAAUAAUAAUGAUAGCAUAAUCAUCAAGUAUCAUAUUUAUGAAUAAUCAUUAGAGCAUCUACUAGUCAUGAUCAUAGUUAGCCAUUAGAUAAACUAGGGAGUUGGAUCUAAGGUAAUUCUAUAACUACAUCACUGAAUAACUCUAAUUAGUGCAAUUACAUCUAGAAAUCAUUGUUGAGCUAACCCUAUAUCAUAGUCACAUGUAAAGAGGCAUCAACUAAUGAGGGUAUUAAGACACAAGGGUCACCUCCUUCGCGACCGUGCCCAUGCUAGUCCUACGUACGAAGGGUGGACUACAGAGGAUACGCAACUGUCACCUAUGCGGUCUACCACACGACCCGACACGUCAGAGUGCACUCGCAGAUAAACAAUAUAUCUAGACACCACGUCUACAUAUUAUCUAUCAUCAACCCAAAGAUCUAUUAGGUCAACGCUAUAUGAGCAAUUACAUGAAUUCAAUAAGAUCAAACCAACUAUCCUAGACAUAUAAUCAAAGUAGACAAUGGCUAUUGCAAUUAAGAAUAUAUGAAUCUAUUAAGAACAAAGUCUCCCUAAUAUACAAUUGAAUACUAUAAAGUAAGAACAAGAUCUAUUACCGAACUCUUGCGCUCCAGACCGAAGCUAGGGGCUCCAGAUCCCGAUGAAGAACUAGAUCUCCUCUACUUCCAAUCUAACUAACUAGAACUACGAACUAGAAGGCUCUUGAUGAACUUGAAGGCGCUUGAUGCUUGAUGGCUCGAGGCCUUGAUGAAUAAUGGAUUGGUUUAUUUCUCCAGGGGGGUCUACCCCUGUAUUUAUAGUCCGGAGGGAUGCGCGUGCGUCGUAGGAUCAAACCGACUUAACCAAGGGCCGAGAUGACUCCUCGUAGGUGGUGGAGGAAGCUUCUAGAAGAGGAAGGUCAAAACCCUAGAUGGGGCACCAGCCGGUGCUAGGGUGGGGCCAGCUGGCCCCACCUGGCAGCCGCCUGGCCCCCUGUUGCUUUGGGUGUCUUCUCGAUCCUUCCUGAGUCCUCCCGUGAUAUUUCCCGUGGUGGAUAAGUUUCGUGUUUAUUUUGUACUAGAAUCCCUCUUUUCAGCUUUCCUAGAAUUCACCCUGAAAAAUACAGGAUAUACAAAACUCGUGGAAAUUGUCAGUUUAAACCCUAGACUAGUGUGUUUUCAUGUUCUCCUUCGGGUUUAAAGCUCUAUAAAAGUUGACGUUAUCGAUCAUCAAUCUCACACCCAUAUUUUAAGAACAAAAUAGGAUGCAUAAAAGACUCAUAUGUGCCCCAGAAACAGUCGCACACAUAAGUAGACAAAUCUCAAAUGUACCAUUGCAGUGUUUAUUACAUAGGGGAACAAUAAUAAAUCACAUAGUCUUAUACAAGAAUGAUAAUAAGAUUAAACAACGCUCUCGACGGAAGCACCACACAGGGACACUGUUGACUAGUUGACUCCAAGCCUAAUACUCAUAACGGUAGUCCUCAUUCCAAUCAUCAUCAUUAGCAUAACCUGGGGUGUUGGGAAAUUGCAAGAGUGAGCACAUAUAGUACUCAACAAGUAUAACCAGGGGUUCAUGAGGCUCAAAUAGCUGACACUGGUUUUACUGAAUUUAGCUUUUAUAUGUAGAUAGCAUGUUUAUAUUUAGAUAGCCAAUAUCAAGGUAGCAUAGUAAAUCCCAUAACCACAUGAUCAAUGUAUACAAGAAUAAAGAAUAACACAUAUAAAUAACAUAAUAAACCAUCAUUUAUUAUCAUUAAUCAUAUUCAUCAGUGUCCAUCUAUUCCGUCAGUUUUUUGGGCCGCCCGUAUCCGUGGGCACGGCUAGUAUACCAGAUUUAACACUCUGCAGAGGUUGUACAUCUUUACCCAUGAGUCAUGAUUUACCCUUUCGCCCAAGGUAGCUAAUAUCUUAACCUCCUUCCUAGGGAGGUCGGUAGGGAUCACUAUGAAGCCUUUCAAAAGUUCGUCUAACAUGUUAGGGCCGCAAAGUUUCCUUCGUGCGCAGAUAUAGAUACCCCCCUUCCAAAUGGCAUAAUGACGCGCAGCCUAUACACAUAAGGAUAGGGGCUCGCACUAUACCCAAAACGGUUCAGCCCCUCUAGCGUCCUUUCGGGUAACCUCUAACAAGCUAGAAAAGGUCUUCAUACUGAGCUAAAGCCAGAGCCAUAUAACCCUCAUAGUUGUACGAGUUAUCCCAGCUUUUGCCAAGGGAUAAGUCCUUAUGAAGGGUCAAGAUCAAUCCAGCAAAAGCCAGAGUUCUUUCCACCCUUUAUAUUCAAGUUGCUAGAAAGCUUAUUUUAUUGUUUAUUGUAUAUUCAAAUAUUUAUGUUACAAGAUCAUGGAUUAAUAAUCAAGCACUAGCAAGAACUACCCACAUGCAUAUCCAAAUAGGUAACAAGGAAUUCAGGAUAACAAUCAUCUAUGAUUUUGCUAAAGUCAUCAAGGUGGACACAUGCAUAUGAUAUAUGUAUUAAAAGUGUGUAGGUAACAAGGAUGAUCCUAAGUUAUACUUGCCUUGAUCAAAGCUCUCCUGAGCCUGCUGCUGGUCUUCAAAAGAUGGACCUUGAUCACCAACGUAUCAUUCUCUGUCUAUACUCAAUCAUCAAUCAACAACACGCAAUCCAAUGUAGACAUUCAUACACGAAGCAAACAAGCUAUUAUUAGAACAAUACACCAAACAAUGGUAAAACAAAUAUAAAAGUUUAUCAAAAUAUUCUACGCAGCGCUACGAUCACAUAAAUGUAAAGUUCACGAAAAUCAGAAUUAAAACGUAGAAGAUAUGAAUUUUCCAAGAUUUCCUAUUGAUAAAUAAUUAGUUAAAUACUACUGCAAAAUUAAAAAGUUUCAAAACAGAGAACUAAUACUCCUAACAUGUAGAGCUCGUAAUUACGAACCUAACGCACUUUGAAUGGACAAAAAUGGAGUUAAAACGAAUAUUUUAUGAGCAAAACAAAAUCAAUGGCAAUUCUGUAAAUACUGGAAAGCGUAAUUUGAUUCAAACCGACGAAAAUACGCUUUUAGAAAAUGAAAACGUAAACCAGAAAAUACGUAAAGGACGGCGGGUUGAUUCCUCGGACCCUAGGGGUCUCUUUAGCAAAAUAACCCCUGAAGGGGUAUCUUCUGUUCUGGUGCGUCGGAUUUCGAUCGGACGGUUGAAAUUGCGCAGGGGUGAGAUCCGGCCGACUGCCUCGCCGGAACAGGAGCCCGACGCGGCGGCGCCAUGGCCGGAGGAGCCGAGCUCGGCGGCGCUCAUGGUUUCGACGACUCAGAGCCUCCGCGGAAGAAAGAAAUGCACCGGGCGGAAGAGGAGCUUACCCCGAGCUCGCCUAAGCACCUUUCUAAGGCCGAGGACGCGCGUAUGGAGCUCGCGGCGGCGGCGAGAAGAACUUUGCUCGGUGAGAUCCCAAAACGCAAGAAAACGGUGGCUAGGGCACAGUUUGGCAAUUUAGAUGCAAAGAGGAGUUUGCGGCGGUGUUAGGGAGUCUUAUAGGACGCGAUUGAGCAAGAAAGCCCGGGUUCUUCGGGAUUUGGAAGGUGCGGCUUGAGUCCGGGUCAGUGACGGCAUGAGGAAGAUGGGAAAGGGGAGGAAGAGGCGCUGACUGUUGACGGUUCUUAAGUAUCAAUUUUAAUUAUCAAAUAAACAAGAGAAAGGACCAAUAUGCAACCAACACCUAGAAUUAGGGUUUGAUCUGACAGAAUUCCACGAGUUUUGUUGUUUAUCUGUUUCUGCAGGGGGUUAUUAGGAAAUUAGGAAGAAAGGCCCACAUGUCGGGAUUACAUAGAGAUAUCAACGCACCGCACAAUUUUCUACCAUCUAGAAGACUCCAGAAGCCACGAGAAGAAAGCAGAGGCCGAAAGGGGCCAGGCCCAGGGCGCCCGCCCUGAGGACCUGGGCGCCCGUCCCCCUCUGGAUGUCAAUCAGGACUCUUUUCACACACGACGUUCCACCGACCUAAAGGAUCAAGGAUAACGUAGUACCACAUCGCCUACUGGACCAAAAAUGCACAGAGGAGGAGGACUAUAUAAGCAGACCCCUUGGCCUCUGGAGGGACGGAAGUUUAUCAUAGAGUUGAGGGGUGCCCUCGAAGGAAAACCUCUUCUCUAAAUAAAAUUUCUUUUUAGGCUUAGCAACCAAUGUAAGUAGAAAUAGAUCUUCUAGUUUCUACUAGAUUGAGAGAGAUAGAGUGGAGGUGUAGAUCGGAGGAAGCCCGGCCUGUCGGUGUCUACUUCGAGCUUGUACCUGCGGGAUCAAGUUCUCCUAACUCGAGGCUUGCUCCUAGGAUUAUUCAGUAUUUCGACUUCUAAAUUAUAGUAAGUUCUUAUUUUAUUGUUCUUUUGGUUUAUGAGUUUACUUUAAUCUCUUCGCGUAGAGUUUAGAGUAAUCAUCUCUAGCGUAGACGUGGUGUUUAAGCUAGGAUACUCAUAGAUAUUCCCUGACUAGCUAGACCGUGGUAGUAGCGAGGAACGUGACAUUUCCGAGUUACCUUUGUAGACCAUAUCUCGUUAGCAGGAAGGAUAGGGUUUAUAGGUGCGGGUUGAACAUCCUUUCUGGUGUCUAGAUUCCGUUAGCGUCCCCAAUAGAAUAGUAGAUCAUCCUUACCAAGGUUAGAAGGAGAUUACGGUUGUAGUAUUCUCUAUUUAUUACUCACAUCGAGAAACAUUCUUUGUUGCCUAAACGGUUAGUAGUAAUAGACCAGGUUAGUCAGAUGCACUCUUUCUCCUAGUGGUAAAAAUAUAAAUACGAUACUCUGGAUAACAUCCCGGGUGAAGUGCUCACCGAUAUCCGUGCGCUUGCGGAUCAAUUCCUUAUUGCGUUCCCAAAUAUCAACAAUCAUUUCUGGCGCCGUUGCCGGGGAGAAAGACGGUUUGCUGAGAUAACCUUGAGUCUUACUACUAGCUUGUAUCUAUACUUUUAUCUUUUCUUAUCUUUUAUAUUCUUUAUCCAUUUUCUUUACUCUUACCUUAUGGAAAACCAAGAUUCUAAAUCAAUCUACCAAUUUGCAACACCUUCGGAAACUGAUCUUUUACCAUGGGAGUCAUCACAGCCUAUCCAAACAUCCCAGUAUAAGUUAAGUUCUAGGUUGAUUGCCAUGAUUCAAAACCUAUCUUUUUCGGGAAAGGAAGACGAAAACCCUUGCCUUCAUAUUAGAGAUUUUGAGCAAACAUGUGAUUGUCUUUGCAUUGAAGGCAUUUCUGAUAAAACUUUACGUUGGAAGCUUUUUCCUUUUUCUUUAAGUAGAGAAGCUAGACAAUGGUACAGUCAGAAGGUAAGUCAACAACGAGGUGAAUGGGGAGUUUUACGAGCCAACUUUUGUCUAGAUUUUUAUUCCCUCGAUCGUAUCGGCGACCUUAGACUCGAAGUCCUAUCUUUUAAACAAAAAGAUAAUGAAACUUUGGGAAAAUCCUGGAAACGUUUUUCUGAUCUUUUAGAAUCUGGUCCAAACCUUAAUCUUGAAGACCCUGUUCUUUUAUUUCACUUUUUUCGAGGUCUUUAGAAAAAUCACAAACAAAUGCUACACACAAUGUCUAGAGGUUCUUUCUUUCGCAUCCCUACUGAUGAAGCUAGAGUGAUCCUAGAUAGAAUCCUAGAAGCUGAGAUGGAUAAUACCCUUCAUGAUGAAACCUACGAAACCGAAGUAGACACUCUGCCAAAUUCUUCAUCUACUUUAGCUAUCCCAGGUUCUGAGCCACAAGAGGAAGAAAUUCCACCACCGGACUUCAUGCUGGAUAUAGAAUCCGAUUUUUUUGCCGAUUUUGGAAACAUUUCAGACUACCAUUCUAUUGACAAACCCCAAAAUGGCCAGUUUAGCAUUUAUUUGCCAAGUGAAUAUCAAUUGAGAGAGCUUAUCUCAGUCAUGAGUAGCGAAUGGUUGGAGGAGUCAGAGCUUUCCUCUGAUGUGAUCCGUUUGGACACACCCUCUAUAACUAUACGCUGUGUUUAUAAUUCUGAUCGAUUUAAUGCUCUUUGUAAUCCUGUUGUGGGGAUCAACAUCAUGUCUGAAUCUUUUGCACUUAAACUAUUUAAAAAUCUUGUCUUAACCCCCACAACAAAGGUCAUAAUGGAAUCUUCGGGACGAUUAGUCCCCAGUCUUGGAAUUAUUAAUGUCCUACCUCUUACGGUAGAAGGCUCCAUGGUUCAUUUGAACUUCUAUAUCUUUGAUACAUGGGACUUCGACCUGUUGAUAGGACAACCUUUUAGAAGACUCCUUUAUGAAGGUCAUACUGGAAAGCUACACAUUUCUUUUGGAAAAACUUUUAAAAUCCCAAUAACAAUUUCACACUCUCUGAAUAAUAAGGCCGAGUCAUAUCUUUUGCCUGAUCCUAUGGAGGAGGUAAAGGCUGCAUCUCUUGAACUUUUAGAAGAAUCAGACUUAGAAGACGAAACUCCUUUCUUCAUAGAAGAAGAAGUCAAACCUUCUGAACCUGAACCCUUAGAUGAGUUUGCAGAAACACCUAGACCCCCCAUAGAGCUUAAAACUUUACCACCCGGUCUUACCUAUGCUUUCCUAAACAAUAAUCCAGAGUUUCCUCUGAUCAUUAGUGAUAAACUUACUCAGGAUCAAACUCUACGAUUAAUGACCAUUCUUAAGAAACAUCACUCAGUUUUUGGCUACUCACUCCAAGAUCUUACAGGAAUCAGUCCUAUGAUUUGUACCCAUCAUAUUCCAACAGAUCCUUCUGUUACACCUUCUCGAGAGCCCCAACGUAGACUUAACAACACUAUGAGAGAGGUAGUUAACAAGGAAGUUAUAAAGUUGCUGCAUGCAAGGAUUAUAUAUCCUGUGCCGCAUAGUGAGUGGGUGAGCCCAGUUCAAGUUGUGCCUAAAAAGGGAGGCAUGACUGUUAUUAUGAAUGAAAAGAACGAGCUAAUUCCGCAACGCACCGUCACAGGAUGGCGGAUGUGCAUAGACUAUAGAAAACUAAACAAAGCCAUGAGAAAGGAUCACUUUCCUUUACCUUUUAUAGAUGAGAUGCUAGAGCGAUUGCGAACCAUUCGUUCUUCUAUUUCUUAGAUGGAUAUUCAGGGUAUCACCAAAUCCCGAUCCAUCCUGAUGAUCAAAGCAAAACCACUUUUACAUGCCCAUAUGGAACUUAUGCUUACCGAAGAAUGUCUUUUGGGUUAUGUAAUGCACCAGCUUCUUUUCAAAGAUGCAUGAUGUUUAUAUUUUCUGAUAUGAUUGAAGAGAUUAUGGAAGUUUUCAUGGAUGAUUUCUCUGUUUAUGGAAAAACUUUUGAUAGUUGUCUUGAAAACUUAGACAAGGUUUUGCAAAGAUGUGAAGAAAAGCACUUAGUCCUUAAUUGGGAAAAAUGUCAUUUUAUGGUUAGAGAAGGAAUAGUGCUAGGACACCUAGUGUCUGAAAGAGGUAUUGAGGUAGACAAAGCUAAAAUUGAAGUAAUUACACAACUACCUCCACCUGUGAACAUAAAAGGAAUUCGAAGCUUUCUUGGCCAUGCUGGUUUUUAUCGUAGAUUCAUAAAAGAUUUUUCAUUUAUUGCUAGACCACUUACUCUUUUGCUAGCCAAGGAUGCUCCUUUCGAAUUUGAUGAUGCAUGUCUAACAUCUUUUAAUUUAUUAAAGAAAGCACUCAUCUCUGCACCAAUCAUUCAACCCCCUGAUUGGUCGUUGCCUUUUGAAAUUAUGUGUGAUGCUAGUGAUUAUGCUGUGGGGGCAGUUUUGGGACAAACUAAAAAUAAGAAGCAUCAUGCAAUUGCUUACGCCAGUAAAACUUUGACAGGAGCUCAACUUAAUUAUGCAACCACUGAAAAAGAGCUUCUGGCUGUUGUCUUUGCCAUUGAUAAAUUUAGAUCUUAUUUAGUUGGAGCUAAAAUAAUUGUUUACACUGAUCAUGCUGCACUAAAAUAUUUGCUCACUAAAAAAGAUGCUAAACCUCGCUUGAUUAGAUGGAUCUUAUUACUCCAAGAAUUUGACAUAGACAUAAAAGAUAAAAAGGGAGUAGAAAAUUCUGUUGCAGAUCACUUGUCUAGAAUGUAUUUUAAGAGUCCACAGGAAACCCCCAUCAAUGAUUCACUCCGGAACGACAUGCUCUACGGGAUUAACAGGUCUGACCCCUGGUAUGCAGAUAUUGUUAAUUUUAUGGUUUCAGGGUAUGUACCACCAGGAGCAAACAAGAAGAAGCUUAUUCAAGAAAGUCGUUCACAUAUAUGGGAUGAGCCAUACCUCUUCCGUGUAUGCUCUGAUGGCUUACUUAGGAGAUGUGUGACCACUGAGGAAGGAUGGAAGAUCAUCGACAGAUGUCAUUCAUCACCAUAUGGAGGUCAUUAUGGAGCAUUCCGUACACAUUCAAAGAUCUGGCAGUGUGGAUUCUACUGGCCUACAAUGUAUGAAGACACGAAGCAAUAUAUCAGAAGAUGUGGGCCAUGUCAAAGGCACGGAAACAUAAAUACAAUGGAUGCAAUGCCACUCACCAACAACCUUCAGAUUGAGCUCUUUGAUGUCUGGGGAAUAGACUAUAUGGGUCCAUUUCCUCCAUCAAAGAAGUGUGAGUACAUCUUGGUGGCAGUAGACUACGUCUCCAAGUGGGUAGAGGCAUUACCUUGCAAGCAUGCCGACAACAUCAGUUCAAAGAGGAUGUUUGAAGAAAUUAUAUUUCCAAGAUUCGGAGUCCCCGGAGUAGUGAUAAGUGAUGGAGGAGCACACUUCAUCGAUAAACGCUUCAAGCAAUAUCUAUCAAAACAUGGAAUCCGUCACAACGUCGCUACCCCCUAUCAUGCCCAGACAAGUGGCCAAGCAGAGACUUCCAACAAACAAAUCAAGAAUAUUCUUCAGAAGACAGUAAAUGAAAUGGGAACGGCGUGGAAAGACAAGUUACCCGAUGCACUCUGGGCAUACCGAACAGCAUACAAGACCCCAAUUGGAAUGUCUCCAUACCAAUUAGUGUACGGGAAGACUUGCCACCUACCUGUUGAACUAGAGUUCAAAGCACACUGGUCCAUAAAGAGAUGGAAUAUGGACCUAGAUGUUGCUGGAGAUCAUAGAAGAAUGCAACUAUCAGAAUUGGAAGAAUGGCGAGAGAAAGCAUAUCACAAUUCAAAGAUCUACAAAGAAAGAGUCAAAAGGUGGCAUGACAAGAGAAUCAAGAAGAAGGAGUUCACACCCGGAGAUAAGGUAUUACUUUUUAAUUCCAGGGUGAGGCUCUUCGGGCAUGGAAAACUCCGGAGCAAAUGGGAAGGACCAUUCAAGGUAAUUAAUUCAUCAUCCCACGGAGCUAUCACACUUCAAAAUGACAAAGGUACGUUAUUCAAGGUAAAUGGUCAACGUCUUAAAUUAUUUUUAGAGCCCAAUAAAGAAUUAGAAGAAAUAGACGUAGUCCAUUUUUACCUUCCCAUGGAGAAUUAGAGCCCGACCUUUUUAAUCUGAUGUUUAUGGGCCAUAUAUAUUUUUCUAAAUAAUUUUGCAUCUAGAACCACGCUCGAGAAAGUGGGCCCACAGAGGGGCCAGAGAGAGGGCGGGCACCCAGAUCAGGUGGGCGGCCGCCCAGCUCCUGUUCCCCCUCAGUCCCGAUUUUCUCUGUUAUGGAAAAUACACUUAUGGUAAUCCGAAUAAUCCCUCAGAUGGAAAGUUUCGCACGCACAUCGAUGGGAGCAACCCGAACAACCCCUAGAGGCACUUUUUGACCCCUAUAUAAACAGACCCCCGACAUCAGUUUUCAAACACCAAACCACCAAGCCUUCUCUUCUUCUUCUUCAAUUAUAGCUUGAUUAGUUCCUUGCUGCUCCAAUGGCCAAGAAGUUCCAUGAUGAUUGGGAAGUCGUCCCCUUCAACCUCAACAUGGAGCCUGCGGAAGACCCCGACGCCCGUGCUCUCGUCCCGGCCAACACAGAGCGACAGCUAGAAGCCAUGCCAUUACGCCAACGCAGCUCCGCCCAAUCCUACCAUGCUCAACCAGUUCUCACCGCACCGCCACAACCCCUACUCCUCAAGGGAUCAUCAUCCAAGACGAAGACCACCAUCAAGGUGCCAACCGACACGAGGAUCCUUCCACCUAGACCCAAUGAGAGGGUCGUUGGAGUCAAGACCAACCGGAGCGGCGAGAUCAGCAGCAUACGCUACACUACGGAGGAGGAAAGACCUUAUUUCGAAGGGAUUAGAGCAGCCAAAGUCCGUUUCAUCCCUCCAAAGGCAGCCCCGAAGCACGCUCUCAAUGCUUUUGAGACACCUCCCAAGCGUCGCAAGACUAUAGUAGAUAUUGAUGAGGACGUUCGCAGGCUAGACAAAGUUAUCAUAGACCUCCAGUCCUCGAUUAAUUCCCUCACUAGGCAGCUCUCUAACCACAACACCGUUAUACUAGACCUUAGGCAUGAUCUUGCUAGUGCCAAUAAGAAGAUUAAGGAAUUAGAGCGCCGCUAAGUUAUCUAGAUUAGACCUUGAGGCAAUGCAUCUUAGUUAUCAAUCUUUAAAUUCGGUUUAGGUUUACUAUUAUUGUCAGUUUAUCAUCAGUUUGCUACUAUCGUCAGUUUGCUGAUAGUUAUUUGUAAUAAAUGCCUCAAGAUUAAUAAAGAGUAUUAUUAUUAUUAUUAUUAUUAUUAUUAUUAUUAUUAUUAUUAUUAUUAUUAUUAUUAUUAUUAUUAUUAUUAUUAUUAUUAUUAUUAUUAUUAUUAUUAUUAUUAUUAUUAUGUUUUGUGUGUCUCUAUUUUAUUUUUUGUGCAAGAAAGCAGAAACAAGUAUAGGGGGAGAUCCCUCGACAUGCCAAACACAACUUCGACUACACCACUCCACGAGUCAGGUACACACUCUGCACACUUUACUUUACACAUACACAUAUCUUGGAUUAUGCAGAAUACUGUUUCCGACAUGAUAAAUUAAAAAGAUUAAAAUAUUUCUAAUCAUGAUUAAACUCACUCUGUGAUAUUUUCUGAAACAUGCAAUUAUUGAAAAUCAUUUUAAAACCCUGUGUUACUUAAGACAGUAUGGAAUGUGAGAUGGUAGAGUAUGAGUUUCUUAUUCUUAAUAUCAUUGUUGCUUGGAGAAUUUAUUUCAAAAUCUUCAAAAUUCUAGCUACCAUCCUCAGUGUUUUAUAUGCCUAAUAAAACUGAAAAUAUUAAUUAUGAUUAUAAAAGCUAUCUACUGUAUUGAGUUUGUUCAAAAUAAGUUAGACCCUUGUUGAGAGAUUUAUCAUGCUCCUAAGAUAAAGACAUUUAUUCAGAAAGAUUCACUCUUCCGAAGUAUUAUUGCAUUAGAGGCAUGGGCUAUGCAAAAAUAAAGAUAUCUCGAGGAAAUAAAAAGGAGCAAGUGCUCGACAACCUCGCAGAAAAAAUGGACAAGUGUCCGGCAGUAGAAUUAGGGGUACCUCGGUAUCCACUUAAAAAAAAGAAAAAAAAAAGAAAAAUGAUAGCCCAUGGUCCCUCUAAUAAGCAAUAUGCCAGCAAGAGUUGACAAAGAUUUUAAUUUCCAAAUUCUUUGAUCUAAGAGUAUGACAUUCCCCUCCUCGGAUCCCGUUUUGAUCAGGCAAUAAAUACAAAGGUAAGUAUGCUUGAGAAUUUUUGCAAUUUAAAACAACCUCAGUGAGAUAUGUAAAAGAUAAUGAGUGAUCUGAGAGAACCUAUGAAGAUAAAAGGUAUGCUAACUUUCUUUUCAAAAAUAUACAAAAACUCCAAGUAACAGGAUUGAGAAGAAAGGAUCUUUACUCUUAACCAUAUACUUCCCUGACUAUAGUACACGGUGGAUUUUAACACCCUGCAGUUAUGAAAAGAAUGUUUUACCCCAGAUAUUGUUCUUAACCAUCCUUUUCUCGAGGACGAGUAAAAGCCUAAGUAUGGGGGUAUUUGUUGACGGUUCUUAAGUAUCAAUUUUAAUUAUCAAAUAAACAAGAGAAAGGACCAAUAUGCAACCAACACCUAGAAUUAGGGUUUGAUCUGACAGAAUUCCACGAGUUUUGUUGUUUAUCUGUUUCUGCAGGGGGUUAUCAGGAAAUUAGGAAGAAAGGCCCACAUGUCGGGAUUACAUAGAGAUAUCAACGCACCGCGCAAUUUUCUACCAUCUAGAAGACUCCAGAAGCCACGGGAAGAAAGCAGAGGCCGAAAGGGGCCAGGCCCAGGGCGCCCGCCCUGAGGACCUGGGCGCUCGCCCCCCUCUGGAUGUCAAUCAGGACUCUUUUCGCACAUGACGUUCCACCGACCUAAAGGAUCAAGGAUAACGUAGUACCACAUCGCCUACUGGACCAAGAAUGCACAGAGGAGGAGGACUAUAUAAGCAGACCCCCUGGCCCCUGGAGGGACGGAAGUUUAUCAUAGAGUUGAGGGGUGCCCUCGAAGGAAAACCUCUUCUCUAAAUAAAAUUUCUUUUUAAGCUUAGCAACCAAUGUAAGUAGAAAUAGAUCUUCUAGUUUCUACUAGAUUGAGAGAGAUAGAGUGGAGGUGUAGAUCGGAGGAAGCCCGGCCUCUCGGAGUCUACUCCGAGCUUGUACCUAUAGGAUCAAGUUCUCCUAACCCGAGGCUUGCUCCUAGGAUUCUUCAGUAUUUCGACUUCUAAAUUCUAGUAAGUUCUUGUUUUAUUGUUCUUUUGAUUUAUGAGUUUACUUUAAUCUCUUCGCGUAGUGUUUAGAGUAAUCAUUGCUGGCGUAAACGUGGUGUUUAGGCUAGGGUACUCAUAGAUAUUCCCUGACUAGCUAGAUCGUGGUAGUAGUGAGGAACGUGACAAUUCCGACUUACCUUUGCAGACCAUAUCUCGUUAGCAGGAAGGAUAGGGUUUAUAGGUGCGGGUUGAACAUCCUUUGUGGUGUCUAGAUUCUGUUAGCCUCCCCAAUAGAACAGUAGAUCAUCCUUACCAAGGUUAGAAGGAGAUUACGGUUGCAGUCUUCUCUAUUUAUCACUCACAUCGAGAAACAUUCUUUGUUGCCUAAAGGGUUAGUAGUAAUAGACCAGGUUAGUCAGAUGCACUCUUUCUCCUAGUGGUAAAAAUAUAAAUACGAUACUCUGGAUAACAUCCCGGGUGAAGUGCUCACCGAUAUCCAUGCGCUUGCGGAUCAAUUCCUUAUUGCGUUCCUAAAUAUGAACACUGACUCGUGGGGCCCGGCUGUCAGCCACCGAACGGGGAGAGGCGCACGGCUGUCUGGCCACUGGGCCGCUCACGGGCCGAGAGAGGGAAUAGGCCGAACGAGGGGGAGAAAAGGGGGAAGGGUGCUGGGCUGCGGGGAAGCUGGUUGGGCUGAGCGCGGGGGAGAGGAAAAGCUGGGCUGCAGCCUUGCGGCCAGCUCCCAGGGGUUUCUCCCCUUUAACCUUUUAUUUUUAUUUUCUUUUUCAAAAACAUUUUCCAACUAGAAUUCUGUGCACAAAUUAUUUCUAUCCAAAAGCAAAGCAAGCAAAACAUAAAAUAUGCUCCAGCAUGAAUGCAUAACCAUGUUUCUAAUCCUAGGAUGAAUUUUAAUCACCAUAAAAUUAUUUAUUUGCUAGAUUCAAAAUGCUCACCAAAAAUACUUAAAUAAAUCAAUUUAAUUCCUGUUAAUUGAAAUCAAAUUUUUGGGUGUUACAAACUCUACCCUCCUUUAAAAGAAUCUCGUCCUUGAGAUUGAACGGUGCUUACUCAAACAAAUACGAAUACGAUUUCCUUAGAUCAUCCUCUCUUUCCCAAGUUGCCUCUACUUCGGAAUACCGAUUCCACUACACUUUGCACAUUCUAAUUACCCGACUUUUGGUGACUCUCUCAGCUGUCUCCAAUAUUCUGAUCGGAUAAUCUUCAUAAGUGAGAUCACCUUUAACAGAAAGCUCUUCCAAUGGUAUUUGCUCCUCAGGUAUACGCAAACACUUCUUAAGUUGUGACACAUGGAACACAUCAUGCACACCAGAUAAACUUUCAGGCAACUCUAACUGAUACGCUACUUCUCCACACCUUUGCAAAAAUUUAAACGGACCGACAUACCUUGGAGCUAGCUUUCCUUUCAUAUUAAACCUCUUCACACUCCGCAUAGGUGACACUUUCAGAUAGACAUAAUCACCUUCCUCGAAAGCUAGUUCUCUCCUUCGUGUAUCUGCAUAACUUUUCUGACGAGACUGAGCAACUCUCAGAUUAUCCCGGAUAGUCUGCACUUGUUGUUCUGCAUUUCUAAGCACAUCCAUACCAAACACCUGAGUCUCCCCAGUUUGAUUCCAAAACAAAGGUGUUCUACACUUACGACCAUAUAAUGCUUCAAACGGUGCCAUUUUAAGACUUAGCUGAUAACUAUUGUUGUAGGAAAACUCUGCAUAUGGCAAACUCUUAUCCCAACUGGUUCCAUACUGCAAAGCACAAGCUCUUAACAUAUCCUCCAGUAUUUGAUUGAUCCUCUCAGUCUGUCCAUCUGUCUGUGGAUGAUAUGCUGUACUAAAAUUCAACUUUGUCCCUAAGGAAUCAUGCACUGCUUUCCAAAAAGUAGAGGUAAACUGAGUGCCUCUAUCAGAUACAAUCUUCUUAGGCACUCCAUGCAAACAAACUAUCCGCUCCAUAUACAACUCUGCUAGUCGAGCUCCUGAAUCAGUGGUUUUGACUAGCAAGAAGUGAGCAACUUUAGUCAAUUGAUCCACUAUUACCCAUAUUGAAUCAUAUCCUCUUUGUGUACGUGGUAAACCUACUAUAAAAUCCAUACCCACUUCUUCCCACUUCCAUUCUGGAAUCUUCAUUGGUUGCAACAAUCUAGCUGGCCUCUGAUGUUCAGCUUUCACUCGCUGACAAGUAUCGCACAAAGCAACAUACUCAGCUACAUCUCUUUUUAAUCCAUACCACCAAUACUUCAGUUUUAGAUCUAGAUACAUCUUGGUACUACCAGGAUGAAUGGAAUAUGCUGACUCAUGAGCCUCUCUUAGAAUCAUAUCACGAAUAGCCUUCACUUCAGGAACACAUAUCCUUUUUCCAAACCACAGUACACCAUUGUCAUCUGUUCUGAAUCCUGGUGCUUUGCCUAGUACCACAUUCUGUGCUAUCUCCUUUAGCUUCUCAUCCUCCAAUUGUCCUUUCAAUAUCUCUUCCUCUAAAGUAGGAGUGACCUCAAUUUCCAUAGCAUUCACUACAAUUCCCAAGUUCAAAUAUGCAAAUUCAGCACACAACUCCUCAGAUUCAGGUGUCGCCCGAAGCUCAUUAGCAUAUUUCUUUCUGGUAAGUGCAUCAGCCACGACGUUCACCUUUCUAGGAUGAUAAUGCACUUCCAAAUCAUAAUCCUUUAUCAGUUCCAACCAUCUUCGUUGCCUCAAGUUCAGAUCUGUCUGGGUGAAGAUAUACUUUAGACUCUUAUGAUCAGUAUAUAUGUCACUCUUAUGCCCAAUCAAAUAGUGUCUCCAAAUCUUCAAUGCAUGGACCACAGCUGCUAACUCUAGAUCAUGAGUAGGAUAAUUCAGUUCAUGUUUCCUCAACUGUCUAGAUGCAUAAGCAACAACUCUACCUUCUUGCAUAAGAACACAACCCAAACCCAGACGAGAAGCAUCACAAUAGAUAGAGAAACUCUUACUCAGAUCUGGCAAUACCAACAUAGGUGCAGUAGUCAAUCUCUUCUUAAACUCCUCAAAACUAGCUUGACACUUGUUAGACCAUACAAACUUAGCAUUCUUCUCCAACAGAGCAGUCAUAGGCUUUGCAAGUUUUGAGAACCCUUCAAUGAAUCUACGAUAGUAACCAGCUAAACCAAAAAAACUUUGAAUUUCACUUACAUGUGUAGGUGGUUUCCAAUUCAGCACAUCUUUCACCUUACUAGGAUCCACUGCAAUACCACCAUUAGAGACAAUAUGACCAAGAAAAGAAACUUCUUCCAACCAAAACUCACAUUUACUACGCUUAGCAUAUAGCUUAUGUUCUCUCAGUUUCUGUAAGACUAACCAGCAUGUUCUUCCUUGGUUUUAGAGAAUACCAGAAUAUCAUCAAUAAAGACCACCACAAACUUAUCAAGAUACUCCAUAAAUACUUUAUUCAUCAUGUACAUAAAGUAAGCUGGUGCAUUGGUCAAACCAAAAGACAUAACUGUAUACUCAUACAACCCAUACCUUGUCGUGAAAGCUGUCUUUGGUAUAUCUGAAUUCCGAAUCUUCAAUUGAUGUUAACCAGAACGCAAAUCAAUCUUAGAGAACACACAAGCACCUCUUAGCUGAUCAAACAAGUCAUCAAUCCUAGGCAAGGGAUAUUUGUUCUUGAUAGUGACCUCAUUAAGUGACCGAUAAUCAACACACAUCCUCUGAUUACCAUCCUUCUUAUCAACAGAGAUAACUGGUGCACCCCAUGGUGAUGAACUAGGACGAAUGAACCCUUUAUCUUGCAAUUCCUUAAUUUGUUUCUUAAGUUCUUCUAGUUCAUUAACCCCCAUUAUAUAUGGUCUUUUAGCUAUGAGUGCAGUACCAGGUAGUAAUUCAAUAAUAAAUUCAAUGUCUCGGUCAGGUGGCAUACCUGGCAAUUCAUCUGGAAAGACAUCCGGAAACUCAUCCACUACUAGACUCUGAGGAUCAACAUCAUCGUUCAGUUGGUUCACUUUAGCUGUGAGUGGUGCUUGCACUGUUACAUCAACACUGAUUCGUUCUCCCUUUGGUGUUGUCAGAGCCACUACUCUCUCUUUGCACUUAAUAUCUAUCUCAUAUUGUUUCAUCCAAUCCAAACCCAAGAUCACAUCUAUGCCUGAAGUUCUCAUAACCAUGGGACUGAUAGGAAAAUCUACCCCCUUAAAGAAAGACUCGCUGAGGGGCAACAAUAAGAAACUGGUAUAGUCCGACCUGGUGAAUUUACUAGCAUAGAGGUUUUCAUGGCAACUACUAGAAUUCUAUGAACUCUAACAAAUGCUUGUGAAAUGAAUGUAUGCGAAGCUCCAGAAUCAAAUAAAACUAUAGCAGGGAUAGAGUUGAUGGUGAACGUACCCAUCAUAAUCUCUGGUCCCUCCUGAACUGUCUCUGUAGCCACAUUAUUCACUAUUGCCGCAUAAGCAGUAGACUUCUGGUUGCUGUUCGGCUUGUUGAGCUUCUCCAGGCAAUCAUAUGACAUAUGUCCCUCCUACCCACAAUGGAAACACCUUAUAGGAGUCUUAGAAGCACUUCUUUUCAUAGAGGUGGCAUUUGAGUUCCCUGAGCGGGGUGUCUGCUGUCCAUUCUACUGUUGGUUAUGAUUACGCUGCUGGAAUGGAGGACGCUGAUUCCCACCUUGUGAUUGAUUCCGGAAACGCUGAGGUUGUUGGUUGCGGUUCAACUGGCUAACUAGUCCCUGGAACCUUUGUUGAUGGCCUUGUUGAGAACUGAAACGCUGACGGUUGUUGCUCCCAGAACCUUGUGCCAGCAUCCUUCUCUUCUUAUCCUACCCCUUGCGCAUGUUGUCCAACACUAUAGCCCGAUUCACCAGAGCUUGGAAGGUAGGAUAAGAGUUUCCUGCCAGUUGCAACCUGAGUUCAUAGUAUAGGCCUUUCAUGAACAAGCGCUACUUAUCAGCAUCUUCUCUGACUUCAUUUGGAGCAUAGCGGGCCAACUGUUCAAAUGUGUCAUGAUAUUCUACCACAGUCAUGGAGCCCAUCCUGAGAGAUCUGAAUUCUUCUUGCUUGAGCUCCAUCAUUCCCUCAUUUAUAUGCUGAGCUCUGAAGUCUCUACAAAAUUCCAGCCAUGUGACAGGAGGAGCAUUGUUGGGACGAGUAGCUUGAUAUGACUCCCACCAUAUCUGAGCUGCCCCCUGAAGCUGUCCAGAAGUAUACAACACCUUCUCCAAGUCAUUGCACUAUGCUAUGUUCAGUUGCCUCUCCACAGCACGUAACCAAUCAUCUGCCUCUAUAGGAUCAGCUGAGUGUGUAAAUACCUGAGGUCUUCCCUUCAUAAACUCCCCACGCUUAUCUCUCACAUGAACAGGUGGCGGUGGUGGUGGAGGUUGCUGCUGUAGGUGCUGCAUGAAAACGUGCAUCAUCUCAUUCUGAGUUUGCAUGAGCUCUUCCACAGUAAUUGGAUCAUUGGCACCCAUGCCACGGCCUCUGCUUCUGCCUCUUCCUCGUGCUGCCAUCUACAUUCCGAGGUAUAUAAACAUAUCUCAGUAAUAUCCAACAUGAUAAAUACAAGAGAUCGUUGAAUCUGAAUUUUUCUGGACGACAUCCAACAUUAGCAGUCCAGAAAGUCAGUCAUAUCUCAAGUUCCAGAAUUCAAAAUGAUACAUUCUGUACACCGUUGAAAAGAUAAAGAAAUUAUCUACAACUUUCAUUUAGACCAUAUUAACAGAUUCCAUCAUUAAAUUAACCAAAACUGGGCACAACCGAAACUGUUCCAGAAUUCCAGACUGCACAGAACCUCAAAUUUAAACUGCCAUAACUCACGGCUCAUAACAGAUAAUAAUGUCAUUCUUGAGGCAUUGGAAAGAUAUGAAAGUCUACUUGUUCCCAGAAAAAUAUGAUGAACUUUUCACAAACAGAAUUUGAGAUGUACUAGAUUUGUUACAGACUGCUCCAGAAAACAGCAAAAGAUAGAAACAGAAUUUUAACCAAACCCAACUAUUUAGUUCAUUAAUCCUUAUGCCUUAAGCCUAUAACUAAAUGAAAUUGUAGAGAAAAUCCACUAGAUGAUUACACUCAUUACAAAGAUCUAAAUCAAGCAUAAGCAUAAUAACAACCAAACCAAGCAUCAAAAGUUCACACUUCAAGCAUUGACUUAACUUGCGGUACUAUCGUUCUCUUCUUGUUAAGGGUAAAGAUCCUAUAACUCCUAUUUCAAAGACGCUAGAAGGUGGUGAGAAAAAUUUCUAAUAGCAUAUCAAGCAAGGAGUGAGGAUGAGAACAAGUCUUUAAAAUAAGCAUCAAGGUGAAGAUGAAUAGCAAUGAAAAGGAUAUAGUAUAGGAGAAAAUAUCAAGGUUUAUUGAACAAGGAUUUUAUAGCAAUUUUAAAACCUUAAGACGGCCAAUUUCUAACUAGGCUUACGUCCGAUAGUCAACAAAGCUCUGAUACCAAUCUAUCACACCCAUAUUUUAAGAACAAAAUAGGAUGCAUAAAAGACUCAUAUGUGCCCCAGAAACAGUCGCACACAUAAGUAGACAAAUCUCAAAUGUACCAUUGCAGUGUUUAUUACAUAGCAGAACAAUAAUAAAUCACAUAGUCUUAUACAAGAAUGAUAAUAAGAUUAAACAGUGCCCUCGAUGGAAGCACCACACAGAGACACUGUUGACUGGUUGACUCCAAGCCUAAUACUCAUAACGGUAGUCCUCAUUCCAAUCAUCAUCAUUAGCAUAACCUGGGAUGUUGGGAAAUUGCAAGAGUGAGCACAUAUCGUACUCAACAAGUAUAACCAGGGGUUCAUGAGGCUCAAAUAGCUGACACUGGUUUGACUGCAUUUAGCUUUUAUAUGUAGAUAGCAUGUUUAUAUUUAGAUAGCCAAUAUCAAGGUAGCAUAGUAAAUCUCACAACCACAUGAUCAAUGUAUACAAGAAUAAAGAAUAACACAUAUAAACAACAUAAUAAAUCAUCAUUUAUCAUCAUUAAUCAUAUUCAUCAGUGUCCAUCUAUUCCGUCAGUUUUCCGGGCCGCCUGUAUCCGUGGGCACGACUAGUAUACUAGAUUUAACACUCUGCAAAGGUUGUACAUCUUUACCCAUGAGUCAUGAUUUACCCUUUCGCCCGAGGUAGCUAAUCUCUUAACCCCCUUCAUAGGGAUGUCGGCAGGGAUCACUAUGAAGCCUUUCAAAAGUUCGUCUAACAUGUUAGGGCCGCAAGGUUUCCUUCGCGCGCAGAUAUAGGUACCCCCCUUCCAAAUGGCACAAUGACGCGUAGCCUAUACACAUAAGCACAGGGGCUCGCACUAUACCCGAAACGGUUCACACUACUACAGAAUGAGGCAUUGGUCGAUGCCCAAAAUGGCCAAAAACCUCGGCCUUUUUGCGGCCCGGGGUUAAAGGCCCCUUUAACACCGGUUCGUAACACGAACCGGUGCUAAAGGGUCCUACCCAACGGCUACUGACGGGUGCUGUCAGGGCAGGGACCCUUGAGCACCGGUUCGUGUUACCAACCGGUGCUAAAGGGUCCCCUUUAGCACCGGCCAGUGCCACGGGCCGAGGCAAAGCCUUUAGCACCGGUUUCAAACACAAACCGGUGCUAAAGGGCGACCCUUUAGCACCGUUUUUUUCCCUCAACCGGUUCUAAAGCUCUGUUUUAUAUGCCUGCCUUCUCCUCCCCUCUGCCCAUUUGAAACCGAGAGCACCAUUGUUGUUCUUGGAGCUUCUUCUUCCUUGUUCUUCAUUUGUUCUUCAUCUCUGACGCCCAUCGUUGAUCUUCUUCGACUCCGUCAUCGUUUCUUCGUGCUUGGAGGUGACUAACUUUUGUCUUUCUUGUCUUUUUCAUGUUGUUUUUGGCUUGUGAUGUUCCCAUUAUUUUUAGCUCAAAUCCACUUUGUUAUUUUGAAUCAUUCAUAUGAAUUAGUAUCCAUAUAUAUAUAUCAUAUUUCAUGGUUGACCUAGUAUUAAUGUAGUUUGCAAGAAUGAAUUAUAGUAUCUUUUAUGAUCUUAGAAAGUAGGAUAGUUCAAAUUAAUUGGUUUGUUAAUAUCACUUGAUUUAUUUUUAUUACUACAUAAUGUCCAUUGUAUAAUUUAGAAGAUUUGUUGAAGUAACUAGACAAAUAAAGGAUAUUAUUAGGUUCUUCUUUAAUCAUACAUGUUUACUAGUAAAUGUGAAAUUUAUAAUUGUUUAAAAAUUGAGUAUGGAUAGUAGAUGGCAACCGUGACCGGGUCUUCGGUCUCUCAACGGGUUCAAAUGCGAUACCGGCCGGAACUCCCUCUCAUUACUUGUGGCAAGUGUGGGCAGAAGAUUGUGAUGGAGUACAAAGUGUCGAAAGAGGGAGUAAAUAAGGGUCGUAUAUUCUACAAGUGUCCAGAUCGUAAUGUGAGUUAUUUCCAGACAUUUGCUUAUAUAUGUGCAUAUUUUUUUAAAUGAUAUUAAUUAAACUUUUGAUUCUCUCUUUUAAUUUCAGUGGGACGGUACCGGCGGAUGUACGGGUUGGUACUGGGAGGAAGAAUACAUUGAACACAUUAAGAAAUCUUUUGCAUAGGUGGUUGAGGCUGAAGGUGGUGAGGCAGUGAGCCGACGAAAGGAGUUCAAUGAUUUUGAUCAAGCGAAUGAUCUAUCUAAUAGUUGGGAUCGGACGCGAAAUAAUUAUGUUGCUUAAGUGCAUUUUAGUUUUGGUUUUUUUAGUGCUAGUUGCGAUUGUAUUUGUUGUAGCCAAGCUUUCCUGAAUUAAUCAACUAUGUAUCUUAGACAUGUUGUGCAAUAAGAUGAGAAACUAUAUGUGUGCAUGGUUUUCAUAAUAUAUAUGUUAUAUUUAAUGCAGAUGGUAACACGUAAUUGGAUGUAUAAUGCCGAUCGGUGCUCCGAAGAGUUCAUUAAUGGCGUGCACUAUUUCUUAAGUGUGACUGAGACAAAUAAGAGGGACGGUUUCAUGUGCUGUCCAUGUGCCGUGUGCAAGAAUUUGACGGAAUAUUCUAACUCAAGAACUCUUCAUUCACACUUAUUAAAGUCUGGUUUCGUACCAAACUAUAUUUGUUGGACCAAACAUGGAGAAAGCGGGAUUAUAAUGGAUGAAGGUGAAGAAGAAGAAGAAGAAUUGGACCAUGCCAAUAUUAUUGCUCAGUACGGUGGCUUCAAUGAUGUUGCAAUGGGGGGAGAUAAUGAAGAAGAGGUAGCGGCAGAAGAUGAUCGGGGCGAUGAUGCUUUUGGUGAUGCCAUCCGUGAUGCACAAAGAGAAUGUGAAAGUGAUAAAGAGAAAGCCAAGUUCGAGCGCAUGCUAGAGGACCACAGGAAAUCGCUAUAUCCCACCGCUGAAGAGGGGCAAAAAAAGCUGGGUACCACACUAGAAUUACUGCGAUGGAAGGCAAACAAUGGUACAUCUGACAAGGCAUUUGGGCAGUUAUUGAAGAUCAUAAAAAAGAUGCUUCCAAAAGGCAACGAAUUGCCCACCACUACGUAUGAAGCAAAACAGGUUGUCUGCCCUUUGGGAUUAGAAAUCCAGAAGAUACACGCAUGUUCUAAUGACUGCAUCCUCUACCGUGGGGAGGAAUACAAGAAUUUGGAUGUAUGUCCAGUAUGUAAAGCAUCACGGUAUAAGAUUAGACGAGAUGAUCCUGGCGAUGUUGAGGGUGAAGAACGUCAUAGGAAGAAAAUUCCUGCCAAGGUUAUGUGGUAUGCUCCUAUAAUACCACGAUUAAAACGUCUGUUCAGAAAUAAGGACAAUGCAAAGUUGUUGCGGUGGCAUAAAGAAGACCGUAAGAUAGACAAUAUGCUGAGACACCCUGCCGAUGGAUCCCAGUGGAGAGCGAUAGACAGAGAAUUCCUAGAUUUUGCAGAUGAUGCUAGAAACUUGUGGUUCGCCUUAAGUACAGAUGGUAUGAAUCCUUUCGAUGAGCAGAGCAGUAGUCACAACACUUGGCCAGUUACUCUAUGUAUCUACAACCUUUCUCCAUGGCUAUGCAUGAAGCAGAAGUUUAUUAUGAUGUCGGUGCUUAUCCAAGGACCGAAGCAACCUGGCAAUGACAUAGAUGUCUACCUAAGGCCAUUAGUUGAGGAACUUCAACUUUUAUGGAGCAAACCAGGAGUUCGCGUGUGGGAUGAGUACAAACAAGAGCACUUUGACCUGCGAGCAUUGCUGUUUGUAACAAUCAAUGAUUGGCCAGCUCUGAGUAAUCUUUCAGGCCAGUCAAACAAGGGAUAUAAUGCAUGCACACAUUGUUAUGAAGACCUUGACUGUGUAUUUUUGAAAAAAUAUCGAAAGGUCGUGUACCUUGGCCACCGUCGGUUUCUUCCUGUGAACCACCCAGUACGAAAGAAAGGCAAGCAUUUUAAAGGCAAGGCAGACCACCGGACCAAACCUCUCAAUCGAACCGGGGAUGAUGUACUCGAAAUGGUCAAGGAUAUAAAAGUGGUAUUUGGAAAGGGACGAGGCAGCGAACCUAUUGCCAAGGAUGCUAAGGGACACGUACCCAUGUGGAAGAAGAAAUCCAUAUUUUGGGAGCUACCUUACUAGAAUGUCCUGGAGGUCCGCAACGCCCGACGUGAUGCAUCUGACAAAGAAUCUUUGUGUGAACUUGCUCGGAUUCAUGGGUGUCUACGGGAAGUCUAAGGAUUCACUUGAAGCACGACAAGACUUGCAGCGCAUGAAAGAACGAGACAACCUGCAUCUAGAAAAGACAGAUGAUGGACGUCAUUACUUAAGCCCUGCUAGCUACACUCUGAGCAAAGAAGAGAAGGAAAGCAUGUUUGAAUGUCUUAGUAGCAUCAAGGUCCCAUCUGGAUUCUCCUCCAAAAUCAAGGGAAUAAUUAAUGUGCCAGAGAAGAAAUUCCUGAACUUGAAGUCCCAUGACUGUCACGUUCUAAUGACGCAAUUGCUGCCAGUGGUUUUAAGAGGAAUUUUACCUCCACACGUACGUCUGGCCACCGUAAAGCUAUGUGCAUUCCUCAAUGCAAUUUCUCAGAAGGCAAUCAAUCCAGAGCAACUAGCUACUCUGCAAAAUGGUGUCGUUCAAUGUCUCGUCAGCUUUGAGUUGGUGUUCCCUCCAUCCUUCUUCGAUAUCAUGACACACCUCCUAGUUCAUCUGAUAAAAGAGAUUCGUAUUCUCGGUCCUAUGUUCCUACACAACAUGUUCCCCUUCGAGAGAUUCAUGGGUGUCCUAAAGAAAUAUGUGUAUAGUCGUUCCCGGCCAGAAGGAAGCAUUGCCAAGGGCUACGGAACAGAGGAGGUCAUAGAGUUCUGUGUUGACUUUAUUCCAGACCAUGACCCAAUUGGCAUUCCUGAAUCUUGACACGAGGGCAGACUCAGAGGAAAGGGAACACUUGGGAAGAAAACAUAUAUUGGUAGGGAGACGAUUACUUCAAUAAAGCACACUACACAGUUCUCCAGAACUCCUCAUUGGUGGAACCAUAUGUUGAGGUACACAAAGAUUUCCUACGGUCCCAGUGGCCCGGGAAGAAUGAAGCUUGGAUAAUGCGUCAGCACAUGGAAACUUUUGGCGAUUGGUUGCGCAAAAAAUGUCAAGGUGAUGAAAACAUUGAUGAGCAGCUUUAUUUGUUGGCCAGGCAACCAUGAUGGCAUGUCCUCACGUACAAAGGGUACGAGAUAAAUGGUAACACAUUUUACACAGUUGGCCAAGAUAAAAGGAGCACCAACCAAAAUAGUGGUGUACGCGUGGAUGCCACGGAUCCAAAUGGGAACAGACAAACAUAUUAUGGACGCAUAGAAGACAUAUGGGAACUAGUCUAUGCAGCUAAUUUUAAAGUUUCUUUGUUCCGGUGCCAAUGGGUGAAGCCAAGAAGAAUCUAGGUCGGGAGCAGGGGUUGGUGGAUGGUUAGUCCAAGACGCGGAACAACAGAGUUUUCUAGCGUAUUAUUAUACCGUCGUCGCCUUUGAAUUCUUUAUGUGUACGUACAAUUACAGCUCGAAUUACUUCGGAUCUUUCUAGAGGCAUUUGGGGCACUGCGCGGAGUUGAGUUCGGAAGAAUCCUAGUUUCUUUUUUUUAUGGAACACGCGCUUGCUAACUGACUAUUUUCAAGCCCGUCUCCAGAGGAUCCUCCUCGAGUUCUACCGGGCCCCGGUGAACGGCGGUCGCACGAAAGGCCUAGGCCUUUGAUUAGGACAUUGCACAAUGAUCCAAACACUUUGUCGCAUCUCUUCGAUACGAAUACAGUAACGAUCAUAGCGAUCCCCUCUGGUACCCCUGUGAAGCUUAACAGACAAAGAAAACGAUAGAGACUUCCGGGUAUAGGGUGACGAGCCUGACGGAGCAAUGCCGCGUGGAGGUGGAAGGCCUACGGGUCGUCAACUUCUUUUCUCGGAGAAGAAACAAUGACAGUGGAAACGGCGAACAAUUGCUGUAAUAUAUAGUAUAGAUACCGGAGAAACAUGCUGCUCUCCUCUUCUAUUCCAUUUUAUGUUUCUACAUAUCUUUCGAGAAGGGGGAGGUCCGAGCCAUAACGGAUUGAUGUGACCGUAACGGCGACUUGGAUAGCCGUAACACUCUCGGUAUGGAGGCGUCCCGAAGGGGACCGGCAGUAAGACUGCUUAUGCCCCGAAAGGCUGAGCCGAAUCAAAAAAAGCCUGGAAUUCCACCAACAGGAAUCUUCCUUCAAGUCCUCCAUACGUCAGUUUCUAUUCCAGCCCAGCAACGAAGGUCGGUCUGCAACAUUCCCUGGUACCCAUUCCGCUUACAGCUAGAAUCUCUAUCUCUGAUCCUGCCCUCCUUCCUAUCUGUCAUUUACAGAAGGUGCGAACCUGGUCUAGCAUCUCUCGGGUUUUUUUUCUCUCCUAUUUUUUUUUCUGUCAUAUAUUUUUCUCCUAUUUUUCAUUUUUUAUUUUCAAAAUAGGAAGUUCGAGAUAGAAUUUGGUCCAGUUGCUUCCCGCGGGUUUUCAUAACCCUGCUGCGCAAAAAUGGGGGUUAUUAUAACAAUAUAAAAUGAAGAUAAUGUUUGGAGUUUAAUAAGCUCUUUGCAAAAGAAUAGUUCCUGCUAGUGAAGUACCUAAAUAGUGCAAUCUCUUGCAUCGAGAAUCAUCCUACUUCUUCACUUAAUGCUUGCUUUCCGUCUUGCCUUUGCUGGGCCUACGAUAGGCUGUACUCCAAUACGAAAUAAGAUUUCUGGAGGCGCCUCACCACAAAUGCCUUUCCGUGACCCAAGCUACUUUACAAGCCUAUUUGUAAAAAACCUAGAAACUACUUCUCGUGAUGUUGUGGUAGAGCUUUUAUUUUAGCUCGAAACAUGCCGUAGUUCCUCGCUGGGACAGGAAUAAGUCGUCAAGUAGGCAUAUGAAUGGGAAAGGCUUUUCUUGUGGAUUCCUCCAACUCCAUGAAUGAAGGGGGGAGUAUGAGGAGGCUCUUUCAUCAACUGAUGUAAAGAUCAGUUAAUUCGCCAUAGUUUUUCUUUAGGGAAAGAUAAUAAGAUGGCUCCCUGUGCUCUGGCGCUAAUUCGUAGUGCUCUUCAGGUCCGAUACACAGAUCUGUCUUUUUCUCGAAAGACCUCCUUGUAUUUUCUAAUGUUCCGAAUCUAGCUUAUUCAACGUGGAUCCGACAAGAUCUGCUCCUCUUAGGCUCUACCACUGAGCUACUGAGGAACAAGGGGAGAUUCGACCUCCUAGAGUUCAACUCCCGCUCUCAACCCGUGAACAAUAUGAGUCCGAAGCUUCUUUCGUAACUCCUGAAAUUUGGUUUUUCAAGUAGUAUAGUUUUCUCAAGAAACCGGAAAAAGAUAAGUGUAGAUAAGUAAGGAGGGGCCCUUAGUGAGUGUGUAUAGGUUUCUGAGUCAGAAGAUUCUCAGGAUGGAGUUCCCCCGACUAGAAGGAUCCAGGGACAACGGCUAUUUCCUCCUAAAAUAUUGGCAGUAGCCGAAACGACUGGAAACCCAGGUAGCGGUCCGAAAAGGGCAAAAGUGGGAAGCGGAGACCGUAAAAAGGGGGAAAGGGCUGUUCCCUAUUAUUUCAAUCUUCCUCAACAGCUUCUAAUGAUUAACUUGCAAAACCCAUUCUUGCAAAGAGCCCUUUUUCCAAUCCGGACAAAAUCGCGGGUGUCCAGUUGGCAUGGGUCUGGGUUCGGCUCAUCAACUCGAACGGUCAAUGCUGGCCUGAUACCAGCAUCGUUAUACGUCACAAGUUGGGGUUGUUGGGGAGUAGGGCCGGGGGAGAAGUUCUAGAUACUUUUCCUUACAUUGUAUCCGACAUCCUUUCCAUUCUUUUGGAGAGAACUCGACUACUAGAAGGCACUAGACUCUGGGCUCCUCGUUCAUCGGGAAAUGGGCCUGAAACCGCGCACUCCCAGAAUGGCGCUUCAAAUAUCACCAAAGAGAGAGGGUGCUUGCACCUGGCACCUCGGUCUUCAGUUGAGAAAAGUGCGAGUCAUAGAAAGUUUGAAAUCCAAAUCAAGAUAAAACGCGAAUAUGGGAGCCCGGAGGAAGAUUCUAUCUUAAUAAAUGAGGGUUUUAUUGAGCAUCGAGGAACAAAAGAAUUUAGUCUAAAAUACCAAAAAGAAGUAGAUCGGUUUUUUUUCAUUCUUCAAGAACUGCAUCCGCUCUCAACCCGUGAACAAUAUGAGUCCGAAGCUUCUUUCGUAACUCCCGUUCCCUUGGCAAGGAAGUUCUGAUCAUUGCAUUGGCAUUCCAUGUUUGCAGGCCACAUCCCAAAGCAGCGAAGAACAAAUAGAAUUUGCUACAAAAGCCGGCUAAGGACAGACAAGAGAAGAAGUCAGAAGGGCAUAACCUGGAGUCCGUCUUUUCUAGGUGCGCAUCUCUAUCUACUAAAAGUAGCCCAUGUCUUUGAAAUCCAACGAUCGUAAUGCCUAUAAAAAUGGAAAAUGAAAGAGCCAAAGUUUUUACUAGAAGUGGAAGAGUUACACAAAGUUCGCGAAAUGAUCACAAGGGUUUAUGCACUAAGAACAGGCAAAUAUGCCUGGGUAAUUCCUCUUCUCCCACUUCCAGUUAUUAUGUCAAUGGGAUUUGGACUUUUUCUUAUUCCCACAGCAACAAAAAAUCUUCGAUCGGUUUCGGGUCAAAUAGGAAGAACGUAAAUCUUCCACCUCUGGAAAGCGCCUACACCUAAUGGCUUAAGCCGCUGUUCCCAUUUCCUCGCUGACCCAUCAUGCGAAAGGUACGCCGUUAGAGUGCGUGCGCCCGCGCUCCGCUCCUUCGACUGAUUGUUCGCAUCGGAUCUCAGGUUCUCUAUUGCACUCCCCGAUUGGGGUUCUUUUCACCUUUCCCUCACGGAAUAGAAAGAUAGAUCCAUCCAUCUAUCCAGAUAUCUAAAAAAGAAUCGAUUUUGAUUUCAUGAAACCUUUGAUUCAAAGAACUGCGCUUAGCCCCCCCGCUCAUGAAACGGCUCUGCUGCAAUGGAUGGCAGAGGGUCCGUAGUACACGAAGCACUGGAGUGAUCCAGUAGCUGGGAAGGGGCCUAGAAGUGCCCCUUUGAGUUUGAUCAAAAAAACAAAAAUGCAAGAAAAAUUGCAAUCCCUACCACGUAAUAGUGCACCUACACGCCUUCAUCGACGCUGUUUUUUAACCGGCGAAUAUCUGUAUAUAAGAAACUUCUAUUCCAAUCCACAAUCGGUCCAACAAGUCAACUGUCGUCAAUUAGAUCAAUCAGGAAUAAGCAAUAUGUCGUACCCUAUCUGUCAUAUUUGCUUUUCGGUAAAGUUGAACCGGGACCUAUUCUCAUAAUAGGCAGCAAGCAAAGCUAAAUAGGAAAGGGGGCGACGUUGCCUUUUUCGUCAAAAUAAAAAAGGGUGGAAUGUGGAGCAAUUCUUCCAUGUUUCCGCAGUAGCAUAUUGUUCCAUGGAGCUAGGGUCCAAAAUAGGAAUCAACAAGUGUUUCCACGACUCUACCGCCCGGCCAAUCCUGUUCCACUGAAUCCCCUGAGCCGGAGGUCACUUUUCCCGAUCCAUCCCGAAGGUUUUUUUCCCUCUCUCGCCCCAUCAUCGUACCCAGUCCUGCUAUCGGCUCAGCCCAAUAGCAGCUGGGCUAGGUACGAUGAGCGGGCGACGAAAGUCAUGAAAAUUGGUAAGUUGGUCAAUGGAAUCCAGUCGAAAGAUCAAGAAAGCAAAGCAUAAGAAGACUCUGAUCCUCUUCUACGAAUCUACAACUCUCUUUACUGAGCGAGACUUCAUCUAUAUCCCUAAAAGUGGAUUUGGAUUCCCAUUUUUUCUUUGAAUGACAUUGAAAAGGGGGGUCCCUCCUCCCCCUGCUAGCUAGAUAUGGUGGGGUGCUUUCGCAACGAAUCUCUUGACCUAAAAAAAGUGUCCUUUCUCGAUACAUAACAUUGUAUAAGUCAACCCAAGUCGCUUCUUCAUCUCCGGGAAUCUGGUAAGGUACUUUUGGAACACUAAUGGGCAUAUUAGAUUAAUAUUAUUAAAUUUAAGUAAAAAAACUACACUUUAAUAUGGAAACAUAAGAAUCUGCAGAAGCAUCUAAUAGCGAUUCUUAGAAUCCACAGCAAAGAACAGAACACCUCGUUCCCAUUUCUCUUUUUGUACGGAAUGAACCAAUUCUCGUUCUACAACAAGAAGAAGAUCCAUGAACUGGAACGGAUGGAAGAUAGCACUAGAAGUAAAAGAAAUAUUGAAAGGUGAUUUUACUAGUCAAGCAAGUAUCGGACAACUGCGAGCGAAAGCAAGAGAUGUUUCUCGAGCUACAAUGAACAAUUCCAUUCAAAGGAAUGUUCUAGAGGGGGCCCUUUUCCGCAAAUUUUGUUGAAAAUUAGUCGUUAUUUGAACGAAACCGGGAGGCCUCUGCCGUCUUACAACGCUCACCGGGAUUUCUGAGCAGAAGUACUCGGGCCCCGACUCGAUCCUGGGGGAAAAGUGAUAUCCAGCACGGGUCCAAUAAUUUGAUCAAUAUGCCCUACGCUUUUUUCUUCAAUUGUGGAAACCCCGGGACGCGAAGUAGUAGGGCAUCUUUCGGCGGAGGAAAGGAGGCGACUAGUCGCUUCUGGCGAAGCUGCGAGUUCAUGAGCAAGUGAAUGAACGAGCUGCGAGUGAAGUGCUCCUCAGCAAAUCUAAUCCCAAUACGAAUUCCAGAAUAAUGCUAUAAUGGAGCCAUCCUUUCCAAAUGAAUCUGUAUCCUCUGUUUCGAUGAAAGCUAUCCCCGGGGACAGAAUUUUUAUGACAGUUUGGCCAAUCUUGAGAUUGUUCUACAGCGUUGUCUUGAAGCUGAUUUGGUACUCAAUUGGGAGAAGUGUCAUUUCCUGGUUCAAGAGGGUAUUGUCCUCGGUCAUUUGGUUUCCUUGCGAGGAAUUGAGAUUGAUAAAGCCAAAGUUGAGGAUCGCUUGGUCCUGCCCCAUUUCCUUGAAUGAAGAAAUUGAGGUUCCAUACCAUCUCCUUCCCCACUCAAAAGGUAUGCGCCGCUACAACGGAUGUUCCCGACUCACACCGGAUAUGGACCGAACUAUCUCACGACGUUCUGAACCCAGCUCACGUACCGCAUUAAUGGGCGACUCAAAAUCUCGUGCUAAAGAGCGUGGAGGUUCGCCCCACUACUUACUUAAUGAAUCUCAUGGGCCUUGUCCUGGCUUCAAAGAAAGACCUUUCGAAAUGUCAAUUUACGUUUUCAAAACUACAGCUAUCUUGCCUAGAGUCCCCUCUGUCUUGCUAAACACAAAUCCUUCUUUUCUUGUAUAGACGAAAAAAAGAACAAAGUAGGUUUCGACCCAUUAAAGGAGUCAAUGGCCUUCCAACGGGCCAGGAAAUUGGUCACAAUCAUAAAAGACCUGAACCGGAGGUGCAUACAAUUGACAGGGUAGCUCGGAGGUCAGAUGAGUCCCCAUAAAGAUAGAUUAGUACUGGAAGGUUCAGAUGAAGGAAUGGGGUAGCGAGGGGUGCUAGGUCUUUCUUCGCAAGCGUUGCGGGCUUCUCUCUCUGGUCUCACUUCGAGUCAUUGGAAGCCUGCAGGGUCAAAUUUGGAGUAUUUUCAGUUAGAAUCUAGAGUCAGCCUAUUCAGUUCUUAGCCCUUAAGGGUAAGGCAGGGGGAGAACUUGUCGAUUGGUCAAGCGAUUCCAGAUUCUUCUUCAUUUGCAGUAGAGAAAUAGCUGCCCAAAGGGGAUCAUUGAGCCGGUUACCGGUGGCUAAGAGCCUUUCCUUUCCAUUUUAUCGACCUUUCCUUUGGAUUUAUUAUCAUAGGUAGUGUUCGAGAUCGCCUCUAUGCGGUGAACGCUCAUCCAAAUGUUGGUGUGUUGCUAUCGGAUCGAAAUAGAGGUCAGGGUUUGGCAAAAAUGCUGCCCUUCGAGAAGUCCCCCACCCUCUUUUUGUAAUCUCUGCAGCUUCCUAGAGGCUUUUUGCUUUUUAUUAUUGAAAAUAUAGCAGAUCUGAAGUCUUUUUUAUUAUUUUUUUUCUUCGUUUUUUACUCGUUUUUAGCACCUAUAACGGAGCCAUCAAUUGGUAGAGGUAGAAACUAUCAAUUUUUUUUUGAAAUCGUUCGGACCUCUGCUUAGUUUCAUCCAAGCUUCAUCCUAGUCAUGGCCACCUUGUAAAUAUGUGUUCGUAUCCGGGCAACAUCACAGACAGUGAAAAUCUUAGUCACUAGGCAAGAAUGGAAAGAGCUUCUUUACCUCAACAGAAAAGUAGCUUACCCAAAGCUAAUCCUCAGUUUCAACCAGUACAAAAGCAAAGCUUGUCCCAGCCUCAUUAGACUGAAAAGAAUUACCCCUGCCUCUGUUGGGUCCGGAACGGCAGCCCCUGCUGGAGUGAAACCUUCCACCAUUUUCGGAAAAAGAGGGGUCCCAAAUGAAAUUCUAGAGAAAUCCUUGUUAUUCGCGGAAAUAGGAUCGGAACAAGAAGGCUUCCAGGAAUUGGGAAUGACCGGAGGUGGGGUAACAGUCGACAAGGAGUAUGGGAUGACAACCGUGGACCUUAACAAUAGUGGGUUCAAAGACAAACCAUUCGUCCUUGCUGCAGACGUGAGUCUGGUGUUCUAUGUCAAAGAUAUGUCUACGAAACCAAAGAGAGGAAAAAAUGAUGACCACUCAAUCAUCAAUGAGCCAAAGCGCCACAUUGUCCUUUCUCGGAAAAGAAACAUUGUCGGAAUUGAGGACAAGUCAGACAUGUCAGGCGAUUACGAAAGGGAUGAUCGAAUUCCGCCCUUCAUAGUCAACAAAGACCCAAGCAUUCUGUUAAACAAUGAGGAUACUCCAUGGUUACGGCAGGAUCAUAACCAAGGGUCAUACGUCAAGAAGAAGUUCACUGUUGUGUCGGCUUAACAUAAAGUCAUGUUUAAUAGUAUGUGUUGUAAGAAACUUUGUAUGAAACUAUAUUUGAGAAUUGUGAAUUUUGAUGAGUGUAACAAACUUUGUAUUCAUGACUUUUCCAUUUGGGACCAUCUAGAGUUCGGUCAAAGAGUGUUUUUGUAAAAACCAUUGCUUUGACUUCGGUCAAACUUGGUCAAAUGACAAACUAAAUUACUUAAAAUGAAAAAAAUUUGAAUACCAAGUUGUUAGAUAUCAUCAAGAUCUAAACCUUUUAUAUACACAACUUUUCCAUUUGAGAAAGUUUAAGUUUACAAUACCCACCAAUUCUUGAAUCUCACACAAACUAUAUGAAACUAUAUGUGUCAAUUGUGGAUUUUCAACUACACCUUCCUAAAACUUUGUCAAAUGCAAAAAUGGUCUAUAUAUUAAAUGUACAUUUUGAUGAGUGGAACAAUAAUGGCAUUCAUGAUUUUUCCAUUCGAGGCCAUCUAGGGUUCCAAAACAGCUGCGUGGCUAUGAAUUCUCUGAAAAUUCAAAAUUGAGUGGUUCAAACUUUUCCAAAAGAAAAGUUGACCAUUAGACAAAAUGUAGAACUUGAUGAGUGUAACAAACUUUGUAUUCAUGACUUUUCCAUUUGGGACAAUCUAGGGUUCGGUCAAAGGGUGUUUUUGUAGAAACCAAUGCUUUGACUUUGGUCAAACUUGAUCAAAUGGCCCAUUUGAUGACUUCAAAUGAAAAAUUUUUGAAUACAAAGUUGUUAGAGAUCAUCAAGAUCUACAUUUUAUAUAUUGUCCAUUUUUCCAUUUGGAUAAUUUUUAGCCAAUCAUAAUCACAUUUCUAUAAAAUCCAAGACAGGAUUUGGUCAAACUUGGUCAAAUGACAAACUAAAUUACUUAAAAUGAAAAAAUUUUGAAUACCAAGUUGUUAGAUAUCAUCAAGAUCUAAACUUUUUAUAUACACAACUUUUCCAUUUGAGAAAGUUUAAGUUAACAAUACCCACCAAUUCUUGAAUCUCACACAAACUAUAUGAAACUAUAUGUGUCAAUUGUGGAUUUUCAACUACACCUUCCUAAAACUUUGUCAAAUGCAAAAAUGGUCUAUAUAUUAAAUGUAGAUUUUGAUGAGUGGAACAAUAUUGGUAUUCAUGACUUUUCCAUUCGAGACCAUCUAGGGUUCCAAAACCGCUGCGUGGCUAUGAAUUCUCUGAAAAUUCAAAAUACAGUGGUUCAAACUUUUCCAAAAGAAAAGUUGACCAUUAGACAAAAUGUAGAACUUGAUGAGUGUAACAAACUUUGUAUUCAUGACUUUUCCAUUUGGGACAAUCUAGGGUUCGGUCAAAGGGUGUGUUCAUCAAGAUAUAUAUUUUUAUAUGAUAAAUAGAUUUUUUAUUCGAUGAAAACAAUACCCUACUAGCAUUCCGAGUAAUAAAUAACAAAAGUAAAAAGUUUAACGUCAAUAUGAUGUGAAAAUAGAUUUCCAGUAGAUUGGAUAUAGUUUUUGUAAAUUUAUUGGAAUAAUAUAUUUUUGCAUGAACAAAAUACUAAACAUUUCUUACAAAAUCAUUGCAAAUUAUAAAAAUACAGUAAGAUAUUUAAGGUUAAAAUUUUUCAUGUGUACAUUAAAAAAAAUUACAAUAUAUGUCACUGUUUAAAAAAUAUUAUGCAAAAUAUUUAAUUUACUAUACAAUUUAUAAUAUAAACUGUAUGUAAACUUUAGCACCGGUUCCAGACAAGGACCGGUGCUAAAGGGUCUGCCCCUAUAUAAGCCACAGGCGCUCUGGAUCUGAGCAGUUGCCUUCGUCUUCGUCUUCGUCGAGCAGAGAGCUCCGCCGCCGCCGUCCAACGCCGCCCGUUCGUCUCCACAGCACCGCCGUUCGUCUCCAGCGCCGCCGCCGCCAUCUCCAGCGCCGUCGCCGCCAUCUUCAGCAGAGCCGGCCGCCACCGGCCAUCUCCUUCGACGAACUCUGGCCGCCACGAUCAUACGUAUAUUCAUCGAUCUAUAUAUAUGCAUGAAUGCCAACAGUUUAUAUAUAUAGACUAAAAUUGUAUAUAUGAAUUGUAUAUAUAUAUGAAUACCAACAGUUUCGAUGAAUAAUAUGUUAUAUAUAUAUAUUACAUAUAUAUAUAUAUAUAUAUUAUAUAAAUAUAUGUAUCAUAUAUAUAUAUAUCUUAUAUAUGUAUAUAUAUAUUAUAUAAUGUUUUGAAUUGUUUUAAAUGUAUAUAUAUAGUAGUAGUAUGUCAGUCUCUAAUAUAUAUUAAUGUUUGUACUAUUAUUCUUAUAUUAUUUUGUAGUAUUAUUUUUUAGUAUAUUAUUCUAGUGUAUUACUUGGCUUAAAAGAUUCAAGUGUAUACAUAUACUAUUAUUGUUUACUAUUAUUCUAGUAUUAUUUUUUAGUAUAUUAUUCUAGUAUAUUACUUGGCUUAAAAGAUUCUAGUGUAUACAUAUACAUAUAUUAUUGUUUGUACUAUUAUUCUAGUAUUGUUUUUAGUAUAUUAUUCUAGUGUAUUACUUGGCUUAAAAGAUUCUAGUAUUAUUUUUAGAGCACUCCAACACUUUCAUUUGUAGUAGUACUAGUAGUAGUAUAUAAGUCUCUAAUAUAUAUUCUAGUAGUGUUUAGCCACCAAAUUUAUUCUAGUAGGGUUUUUUAUAUAUUAUUGUUUGUACUAUAUUAUUCUAGUAUUUUUUAGUAUAUUAUUCUAGUAUAUUACUUGGCUUAAAAGAUUCUAGUAUUAUUUUUAGAGCACUCCAGUAGUACUAGUAGUAGUAUAUAAGUCUCUAAUAUAUAUUCUAUUGGUGUUUACCCACCAAAUUUAUUCUAGUAGUGUUUUGUAUAUGUUAUUGUUUGUACUAUUAUUCUAGUAUUAUUUUUAGUAUAUUAUGAAUUCUAGUGUUUUAGUAUAUUAUGAAUUCUAGUGUUAUUGUUAGUAUUAUUUUUUUAGUAUAUUAUUCUAGUGUGUUUCUUAUCUUAUAUAGAAUAUAUAUAUGUAUGGUUGCAGACAUAGAAAUGGCUGACCGUCCUCAUGAUGAUCCUGAUUAUAUGGAAGAUGCCAUUCAAAAUAUGAUCAACGACGGUAGUCAGUACUUUAUUGAUUACAACGAGAUCAUGCAAGGCAAUCCGAUUGAGCAACAAGAGGGAAAUGCCCCUGAGUAACAAGAGGGCAAUGCGCCUGAGCAACAACUUGUCGUGAAACAAGAAGAAAAUACUGGCGAGGUAUGUAAAUGUAAACAUAUAUAAUUAAUGCAUCUCUUACAUUAGGUUUUAGACUUACUUGGUUAUUAAUUUAGUAUUUUUGUUCUUAUAUCUACGUGUAGCCUUCUGGAUCGACCUCUACGGGGAGAAGCGUACCUCCACGAGGGCCAAAGAAGCCGUUGGAGGGCCGCUAUGUAAUCUCUGAGUUUGAGAUAGCUACAGGCAGACCACUUGGUGAACAUGUAAAUAAAUAUGUUAGUCACUGUGGAUAUCUUGUGAUAGAUCAAAUACCGAUUAGUGCUCGUUAAUGGAGAGAGAAGCGAGGUGCUCCUAAGAUCAGUUUUGUCUCUGAUCGUGACAAGGACUUAGUUUGGAAAGCCGUCACAGACGUUUUUACCUUCGACACCAACGAUGAAGAGUUGAAGGUGCGAAUUUAUGACUGGAGUAUGAAGAAGAUGGCGGUACUGUUCCAGAAUUGGAAGAAGACUUUGUACAAUAAAUUUGUCAAGAAAAACGAGACUCCAAAUUUCAACCUCAAGCAAUACGUAAAGCUGAGGGUCUUCUGGGAUGACUUCGUGCAGUACAAAACAUUAGAAGAGGGCGAGGAACGAGCCAUUAGAAACAAAGAGAAUGCAAGUAAAAAGACAUACCACCAUCAUAUGGGAUCAGGUGGUUAUAAGAAUGUUGUAUCCAAGUGGGACCUAAUGGAACAGGAGAUGCUUGCUAGGGGGGUCACACCCGAGACAAUAGCAAAGAAUUGGAGCGAGCGCUCCAAGCAUUGGUUCUACGGUCAUGGGGGAAGCUUGGAUCCAGACACCGGGGCGCUAUUUUGGGGCCAAGAAAUCUCUAGAGCAGCAGAGAGACUAGUCCGUGCACGAGAGGCGGUUCAGUCUGGUGAGUUCAGGCCUAACAGGGAGAAGGAUGAACUCACCUAUGCGCUUGAAAAUCUUGAGCACGGUGGGCGCACGAGAGGCUAUGGGGCAGUUCCGUGGCUGCAAUCAUUCCAAGCCAAUCAAGAUACCUACAGAAGCUACCAGAGAAAGAAGGAUGAGGAGGAAGAGCGGAUCCGCCGCCUGGAAGCUUUUGUUCUGCAGUCAGAAGAGCGUGAGAAAGCUCGUGAAGAAUGGAUGCAGGCGGAGAUUCAAAGGCAAGUGCAAGCAGCACUUAGUCAAAUGACGAAAGGGCAAGGUACAUCACAGCCUGAGGUCAACGUUAGCCCCCCAUGCCAGUUGAAAAGCAGCUGCGGAUCCACGGAAGUACCAACCGUUCAGGAUGACACGAAGCUACACUUCCCCGUGGAUGAUGUCACAGAGGCUUUUAGUACCUGUGAGCUGCAUGUACCAGAUGGGAAUGCAACAAAAAAGGUGGCUAUCGCUGUUGUCAACCCUAUCGACCGAACGAGAAAUCCAACAAUCCAUAAUCGACCAGUACCUAGUGGAUAUGCUAGCGUCUCGGUUGAUAGGGUUGAGAAAGGUUGUGGCAAUGUGCCUCUAGACAUAGAAGGGGAGACAGAGAGAAGACAUUAGGUGAAGCUGAGAAGACAUUUAUUUGUUGGCGCAAGCUCUUCAUAAUUAUUCCUCAACAUAGGUUUGUGUGUGAUUUUACUUCUUAUAUUAUUUAUUAUGUAUUGAAAUUAAAAAAGAGUUUGCUCACAAAACUUGUAAUUGUUUUCUUUGCAGGGACUCCUCCAACCUAAGUCCAGUUCUCUCCCCAGCGCAUCAUAGUGCUGCGGGCGGUGACAAUGCUGGAUCUCCUCCAACACCUGCGGCGGCCACACCGACCCCGCCACCGCCUCCACCACGGUCUCCACCUCCUCCACCGAGGUCUCCAACUCCUCCACCGCAUUCUCCAACACCGAAAAGAUCGGCCCCACCACCUCCACCGCCUGCACCGCCCUCUCCAAAGUGUACACGGUCGGUCCCCUCGCCUCCAAAGCGAGGUAGUCACAAGUGGUCCGCCCAAGAACGACCGAAGUCAUCGGUCCCACCUCCAAAGAAGGCUGCCUCAGCAAAGAGAGCUAAGACUCCAGAAAAAUUAUCUUAUGAAAAUAGUGAAGAGGAGGUAAUUGCUGCAUCCAAAGCUGAGGUGAAACAAUUUUUUGAUAAAUUGAAGGAGGAUAGAAAAAAGCGGCUAAACCCAGAAAAGCCGUACUUUUAUGUAAAGCCAUUGGAACUGAGGCAGAAGGUGGCGGACCAGCAAAAGAAGCAACCCGAAGCUCAGAAAAAGUCAGCACUUUCGGACUAUGAGCGGUCUCUGGUCAAGUCUUCACAGCCUAGAAAGAGGGUCCCACAGCUCGGAGAAGUAUCAAAACCGGUGCCCCCUUUGAUUGUGCCAAAUCAAUACGGCUCAAAUGAAGACUUCAUGCCAAAGAAAUCCUUAGCGUUGUCUGAGCUCGACUCGCUUGAGCGUUUCUUUCGACACACAAAUGUUUGCAAUAAACAAAUGGUGCAUUGAGGCGUCUAAAAGGGGAGAGAAUUGGAUUUCUGUUCGUAUUAGACAACAUCACUACUUCUGUGGAGAUGACCUCAUAUACGUGCAGUUCGAAGAAUUGCACCAACUAUGUCACCUCGACGCUCUCGACAAAUCUCUUGUCAGCUACUUUUGUCUGUAAGUAUUUUUUCUUUUUAUUAUACUUCUAACUUCUUUAAUUACAUGUAUAUAAUCCUUACACACUUAGAAUUUAUAUGUAUAUAUGCAGGCACCAAAUGAGAGAGCUCAGAAUCAGAAAUGACAAUAGUAUUGGGUUCGUUGACCCUUAUAUUGUUUUCAAGGCUCCGCAGGCAGUGUGGACAGCAGCUCAUGAGACAGAAGUAUGCACCAAUCUUAUGAGGUUCUUUGUGAACCAAAAAGGAAAAACAAAAAAUACUCUUCCCCUUCAACUUCGAGUGAGUUAUAUAGUUAUUAAGUGCAUGCAUAUUUUAUUUUAAUAAUUAUUACUCGAGACAAGUUUUAUAUAGUUAUAUAUAGGCCUGACUAUAUAUAUAUAUGUGUGUAAACAGCUUUCACUGAAUACUCAUGGUCAUUGAAAUUCCCAAGAACCGGUUGAUAAUCUUUGACUCAAUGAGAAAACCAAAAGAAAAUUAUCAACAAAUGGUAAACAUUAUUCAAAGGUACGUAAUAUCAAUCUCAGCUAGAACAAUAUGAUAAUAUGACUCUGUAAUUAUUAGUUCACGAUCCACAAUGGCUGUGUGUAGGGUUUGGGAAAGAUUCAUUGACCGUGAACAUCUCAGUGGAUGUAAAGCGCCGCUUAACAUCCACAAGUAAGUUCUACUAGCUAGCAAACUUUCGCUAACUUUUAGCCUUCUUAUUGUCAUGGUCGUGAAUAUUAUAUAUAUAUAUAUCGUACAGUGGUGUUUAAGACAAGAAGGGGGGAACAAUCUAUGUGCAUAUUACGUGUGCAAAUUCAUGAUGGCACAAGUCAAUCAAACACCCACAGAGACUGCUCAGAGUACGUUACAUGUCUCUUUUCAUUAUCUCCUGAAUUAUAUUGAAUAACUUAGAUAACUAAUACUUUUUUAUUUAUUUCAAAUUAAAGACGGAAUGGUUGAGGGAAAAGGUCAUACAAAAAGACUGAAUCAAAGCUAUCCAAGAGACGAUAGCAGGAUUUCUCCGCGAGCAAGUGAUCAAUCCAAACGGCGAGUUUCACUUCAACGGCAACGAAACUCUUAUUCCAAACAACGAUGAUCAUUUGUAUCGUUUUUAGACAUUGGGAUAAAAAACUCUAUGUAUAUAUGUGUUACGAAUUUUGUACUUAUAAAACUAUAUAUAUAUAUAAAGCUUUUUACAUAUCUAUUUAAUUUUUGAUGUGGCCUAUUCAUUUUAUUAUAGGCAAAGCUUAAUUAUAAAGCUAAGCCUAUAAUUUUCAUUUAUAUAUGCUUAAUAUGCGUGUAAUAUAAAUAUAUUAUUGUAUCAGCAAAAAUAUGUAUUAAAAAACCUAUUAUUAUUAUAUAUAAAAACAAUAAACAGAACCGAAGAUGUGAACCAAAAAAAAAGAAACCAUUAACACCGGUUGGUAAUACCAACCGGUGUUAAAGGCUCCUGCAACGUGGCAGCCCUGGCAGGACCCUUUAACACCGGUUGGUAUUACCAACCGGUGUUAAAGGGAGGGGGGUGGGCUUUAGCCCCGGUUCCCCAAACCGGGACUAAAGGGUGCCUUUAGUCCCGGAAGAGUAGCACCGGCUCGGGAACCGGGGCAACAGGCCCUUCCCGACCGGUGCUAAUGCCCGAACGUGUGCUAGUGUCAGCUCCUCUAGCGCCCUUUCACGAAACCUCUAACAAGCUAGAAAAGGUCUUCAUAAUGAGCUAAAGCCAGAGCCAUAUAACCCUCAUGGUUGUACGAGUUGUUACAGCUUUUGCCAAGGGAUAAGUCCUUAUGGAGGGUCAAGAUCAAUCCAGCAAAAGCCAGAGUUCUUUCCACCCUUUAUAUUCAAGUUGCUAGAAAGCUUAUUUUAUUGUUUAUUGUAUAUUCUAAUAUUCAUGUUACAAGAUCAUGGAUUAAUAAUCAAGCACUAGCAAGAACUACCCACAUGCAUAUCCAAAUAGGUAACAAGGAAUUCAGGAUAAUAAUCAUCUAUGAUUUUGCUAAGGUCAUCAAGGUGGACACAUGCAUAUGAUAUAUGUAUUAAAAGUGUGUAGGUAACAAGGAUGAUCCCAAGUUAUACUUGCCUUGAUCAAGGCUCUCCUGAGCCUGCUGCUGGUCUUCAAAAGAUUGACCUUGAUCACCAACGUAUCGCUCACCGUCUAUACUCAAUCAUCAAUCAACAACACGCAAUCCAAUGUAGACAUUCAUACACGAAGCAAACAAGUUAUUAUUAGAACAAUACACCAAACAGUGGUAAAACAAAUAUAAAAGUUUAUCAAAAUAUUCUACGCAGCGCUACGAUCACACAAACGUAAAGUUCACAAAAUUCAGAAUUAAAACGUAGAAGAUAUGAAUUUUCCAAGAUUUCCUAUAGAUAAAUAAUUAGUUAAAUACUAUUGCAUGAUUAAAAAGUUUCAAAAUAGAGAAUUAAUACGCCUAACAUAUACGAACCUAACGCAAUUUGAAUGGACAAAAAUGGAGUUAAAUCGAAUAUUUUAUGAGCAAAACAAAAUCAAUGGCAAUUCUUUAAAUACUGGAAAGCGUAAUUUGAUUCAAACCGACAAAAAUACGCUUUUAGAAAAUGAAAACGUAAACCAGAAAAUACGUAAAGGACGGCGGGUUGAUUACUCACAUCCUGGGGGUCUCUUUAGCAAAAUAACCCCUGAAGGGGUAUCUUCUGUUCUGGUGCGUCGGAUUUCAAUCGGACGGUUGAAAUCGCGCAGGGGUGAGAUCCGGCCGACUGCCUCGCCGGAACAGGAGCCCGACACGGCGGCGCCAUGGCCGGAGGAGCCGAGCUCGGUGGCGCUCAUGGUUUCGACGACUCAGAGCCUCCCUGGAAGAAAGAAAUGCACUGGGCGGAAGAGGAGCUUACCCCGAGCUCGCCUAAGCACCUUUCUAAGGCCAAGGACGCGAGUAUGGAGCUCGCGGUGGCGGCGAGAAGAACUUUGCUCGGCGAGAUCCCAAAACGCAAGAAAACGGCGGCUAGGGCACGGUUUGGCAAUUUAGAUGCAAAGAGGAGUUCGCUGCAGUGUUAGGGAGUCUUAUAGGACGCGAUUGAGCAAGAAAUCCCGGGUUCGUCGGGAUUUGGAAGGUGCGGCUUGAGUCCGGGUUGGUGACGGCGCGAGGAAGAAGGGAAACGGGAGGAAGAGGCGCUGACUUGUGGGGCCCGGCUGUCAGCCACCGAAUGGAGAGGGGCACGCGGCUGCCUGGCCACUAGGUCGCUCAUAGGCCGAGAGAGGGAAUAGGCCGAACGAGGGGAGAAAAGGGGGAAGGGUGCUAGGCUGCGGGGAAGCUGGUUGGGCUGAGCGCGGGGGAGAGGAAAAGCUGUGCUGCGGCCUGCGGCCAGCUCCCAGGGAUUUCUCCCCUUUAACCUUUUCUUUUCAAAAACAUUUUCCAACUAGAAUUCUGUGCACAAAUUAUUUCUAUGCAAAAGCAAAGCAAGCAAAACAUAAAAUAUGCUCCAGCAUGAAUGCAUAACCAUGUUUCUAAUCCUAGGAUGAAUUUUAAUCACCAUAAAAUUAUUUAUUUGCUAGAUUGAAAAUGCUCACCAAAAAUACUUAAAUAAAUCAAUUUAAUUCCUAUUAAUUGAAAUAAAAUUUUUGGGUGUUACAAUCAAUAAUUCCCCCAAGCUUACCUUUUGCUAGUCCCUUGGCAAACCAAGCCUAAGCAGUAUAUGUAUUUGGAUCAAGAGUUGCAACAAUGUUUUAAUUCUUUCCAAGUACACAUGUUCCCAAACAAAGAUUCUCCUCGAGAUUAGUUAAUAAUUGCUAUAAUAUUCAAACUUACCUGUUUUACCUUUAACCAUGGAGCCUUACAACUUUUGCAUGAGUCUUGAGCAAUCAGAAAACAAAACAAUCAGGUCAAGCACUAUGUCUCAAAUUCUUUGCAGAACCAUUAUUUCGGAGUUUUUUUAUAAGUUUUCAAAAUAAAACUCAGAGCUUAAUUGUAUGACACCCUCAAGUCUCUCAAUAUAUGUGGUAUUUAUGGUUCUCUCUUGAGGCAUUAAUGAUGUUAUGGCUCCUAUAGCUAAAGAGGUAUAUAUAGUAGAGCUUAUAGGAGUGCUAAUAACAAGGAUGGGCAUACUUGCAAUGCAUAUAUUGUAAAGUCAAAUAAUGGAUCCACAGAGAAUUGAGGCAUACAAUCAAACCAAGGUGUGCAUGUGUAUGGAAAAUGGUGGAUAGGUGCAUUUGUGGUAUUUGUGGCUAAUUUUUAUUUCUUUUGGAACAGCUCUCUAUUGAAACUUUUCAGGAAAGACAUGGGCUAUUAUUAUUAUUAUUAUUAUUAUUAUUAUUAUUAUUAUUAUUAUUAUUAUUAUUAUUAUUAUUAUUAUUAUUAUUAUUAUUAUCAGGGAGGCGGGCAUCUAGUACCCAUUGUUUUAAUUACUGGGACACUUGUCCAUCUUUUACUCCCUUGUCUUCUUUUAUAUUUUUGGCAUAGCCACAUGUAUCCUUUGAAUACAAUAAAUGAUCAGAGAGGUAAUAACCUGAACUUAGAGCAUUUAUGAAGGGCUUUAUCCUAUGGGUAUGGUUUAUGUUGGUGUUUACUCCCAGUGUAGGAGAAAAACAUGAUUGAUGAACAUGGAAUGGAAAUGAUUGCGAUUACUCCUAGUGUGGGAAUAAUGCAUAUGUGAACUAGAGUGUGCACGUGAUCUUGGUUUUAAAAGCAUGACAAGACUCUCGUAAGGUAUACUACAAAGGUUGACUAAACUCAAUGCAAAGCAAGUAGCAUAAAUGUGCAAAAGUUUUCCUAACUCUAGAUUAUAUAUGGCUUUGGUAGGAUUUCAAACUUUGUUGGUGCAAAAGCUGAUCUGCAAACACAAAGGGCUAAUACUCGAUUCAAACGUUAAGGCGUGCCAGCCGAUUUGACCCUACUAUCGGCAAAGGUGGUAACACGAACACUUUGGUCCCGACAACAGCGAUGCGCCUGGAUGUCACGGCCUAGAGGUGUUCACGCGGAACUCGAGAAUACGCCGAGCUUAAGUCGACGAAUUCCUAAGAACUCGUAGUAAAAGGAAAAUAUGACGAAGUCGUCGAAAAAGUAGAUGCUGGAAUAUGAGUAAAAACUUGUGUUUGAUUGAUUGAUAGAUAUCUCAUUACAUUGCCCUAGGGUCUACAUUUAUACCCUGUCCAAAGAGCUACAACCAGACACGACUAGGAUUCCAAUUCCAAAUUAAACGGAAAUCGUAUACAAAACGAAUUCUAAUAACUAAGGAAAACAUUAAACUACCCUUUCGUAACCGACCGGGACACCACCACGGUUCAAUCGGCAACCUCCACGCUUUUCUUCAGAGUCAUCGGCAGACCACCUGUUGCAUUCAUCGGCAGACACCAGCAUCGGUCAUCGGUACGAGCACGUCACCACCCCCGGACUUAAUCAUCUUCAGCUAUUUUACAUCGGUAAUUACCUCCAUCGGGAACUCCCCUGUAGACUAGUUACCAUUGUUUUAUGUGCCGAUCUAAAUCCUAUUGACUUCUGGUGUGCAUUAAAAGACACGUGUCCAAAAACGGUGUCAACACAUGCCCCCCAAUUUCGGAGUAUAAAAUCAUUAAUGCUCUGAUAUUCUCUGCAGUUAAUGAUGCCUUUCCGCAAUUACUUCUUCUAAUUUGGUAAUCAAAUCACCAAAUCUGAACAACCUCAUCCCGACUCUUCUGUAGCUUCCUCGAAUUCCUCAACUUCCUGAACGAAUCUCCCCAGAACGCGCUCAUCGGCAAUAUGACCGUUAGAGAAAACUACCGAUGGACCGACCAGGCGAUCUUGCACAGUAAAAUAUCUUCCAAACUAUGACCGCUUGCCGUCAAAUCACCUGCACAAUCCCUUGAUUACCGUGCGAACAGUUACCAUAUCCACCUGAACACCCUCGGAUUUCACGGAUGCGGCAAAGAGAUAAGUCAUAUUUGCCCCUGCCCGUUUUGUCCUAUAAAUACUUCCUUCUUGGGUACUCCUUCUCCAUCAUGUCAUUCUACAGCCCAAAAUCUACUUUCCUGGCGGCGGCAUCACCCGAGAACCUCAGGAACUUCAUCAAGAGUUUUCUUCGCCAAUCCUCCAAGUCUUCGAUCCUCUUUCUUGCGAGAAAAUGGCCGUCAACUUCGUCGUUCCUGAGGUCAGUUUACCAGCCUUCUUUUUCCGUACUCUUGCUGUACCCCUGUUCAUCCGCAAUCCCCUUCACUGAAUACUUCCUUUUCUCUUUGUUCUUCUUUUUAUCCUCAAAAACUUUUAGGAUUUGGCCGAUAAGAUCAUAAUCCAUACUGAUCAACCUCACCUCCAAUGUCUCGGCCCGCGGAAAUCCAGAUCCUACCGAUCUAAUAAACGCAGAGACAAACAGAAUCCCCUUUAGAGCCGAAAACUUCUCCCUAGAUCUAUGGAAGGAUGCCUUCUGCUCCUAGCCCAGCCCUACCAAGGAUGGAAGGAUUGGUUUCUGAGAGUCAGUCAUUCAAAUGAGGUCCAAUGGAGUGAGCGGAAGUUAGACCAGUGCAUUAGAUUGUCUCUUGCCGAUAUGGAGAGGAAUGAGUCACUGCUAAUUGCUGCUUCGUACUUUUGGUCAGACACGCUCAAUGCUUUUGUGUUUGGCCACAGCCCUGCCUCACCUACUCUUACCGAUGUACUCAUGCUCACCGGCUUAGACAUAUCCACUGCCGACAGCAGCCAUCUGUUCGACACCAAACCCAGUGCUAAAGUAGAAACUCGCGCUAUCGGCGGUUGGUCUGGAUAUAUUCAGAAGUACCGAAAGACAGGGUCUGUCGGGGAGAGGGAGCAGAUAAUUUUCCUGAACAUGUGGUUGGAUAAGUUUGUGUUCUACGGCCGAUCGGCAGGACCAACCUCUGUUUAUUUAUCGGCAGCAGAAAAACUAGCCACUGGUGGCCGAUUUCCUCUUGGCCGAUACUUGCUUGGUGCUGCUUAUCACCUUUUCAUCAAGUAUCUAAGAAAUUCUUGCUAGGGCAGCCCAUCGGCAAUCUAGGAGGGCCCUGGUGGUUCAUCAACAUGUGGCUAAGUGUCCACAUGCAUAAGCGCCUUGGAUUUGACCUCUUUGCACAACGCUUCCCUAGAGAUAUAGCUGAAGACCAUGAGCUGGAUGAAGAAGAAUCGGCAACUCGUUCCCCUCUGAACUAUGGUGAAGCAGCCAUAGUUUUACCUGGCACUAGAGGAAAUGAAGAUCAGGUCAGCCGAUUCUUCCAGACUCUUUAUGAAGGUCUGGCCAAAGAGCAGCGAGCAUGGAUGCCCUAUGAGGACCCAGACACCAGAUUUCCUCUGACUUUUCACCCCUUUGAUAACGCUCUCAAUAAGGACCAGGAUCUGAUGAUGGCAAUCAUCACUCCAAGAGCUAUACCAGUGAACUUCUUUGGUAGUGGAAAAGCCUCCAAUCUGACUUACGAAUUCUACAACCCAUCGGCACUAGCUCGCCAACUAGCCUUUGGACAGCUACCGAUUGCGCUCUGCUACGCCGAUGUGGUGAAACCAAGGGAAACCAUAACCAGCAAUCUCGAGUGGACUAGAAUAGAUCAACUUCCACCAAAUGCCGAUACAGACGUUGAUCUAUCGGUUUGGAUUCCGGUUCUCUUCAUCACCCAAGCAUAUAAGCAGUGGUGGGAAGAAUGGAAAGAACACCUGUUCUGCAAAUCGGCCCUCACAUACCGUGGCAUGAUCGACUCCAAGUAUAAAAUUCCCGAGAACACUGUAAGUUUCCAACCGAUGUUUCAAUCUUCUUAUAUUACUUUCAUUUUCUAUCAGUAACUUACUUUCUCUAUUUUUUACAGGUCGAUGAUACGCCGCCAUCAGUUAGCAGAAGUGGCAGGCCGAUUGAACUCCUUCCAUCAGGCCCGAUCACUUUGAUCGGCAACAGCGCUCCAAGCUUUGCGGCUUUAAUGCACCCGGGUGUGCGGUUCAAGAAAAUCACCACCAGGCGAGCGAAAACAUCCCCAUCGGUAGCUGCCACUGCUUUGGCGCAAGCUUUCAAGGUUAAUUCUUGGCCUCUUCAACUUAUACCGAUUCCAUUCUUACAUUUACAUAACUUUUCAGGACACAUCGGCUGGCAUGGGAACCCCAUCGGUAACUUUUAUUAUUUCAACCAGAACCUCAUUAAUACUUUGUUAUACUUGCACUUAUAGAACUUUCAUUGUUGUAUCAGCAGACUGGCAAAUCGGCAAAGACUAGAAGUACCAAAACAACUGUCGAUGCCCCCCAGUCCAGCCAAGCAAAGAGAAAGGGUCCCAAGAGUACCAAAUCACAAGUGAAGCGUCAGAGAACAGCAACACCUCCUCCCCCUCCAAGGUCACCGAUCCCUGUAGAAUCGUCCCCCUCUUCUCCAGAAGCUCAGACACAGCAAGUGCCGUCUCCCCCUCGGCCACAAGAAGAACCCCAGCCAGAAGAACUUCAGCCGGAAGAACCUCAGCUAGAAGAAAUAUCGACCGAUGUACACGAGCAGACUGCCGAUCCAGCGGUCUCAAUUAUAGCAUCGGUAGUCUCCUCGAUCCAGACAAGCACUGCACUCCAUCAAGGUAAAAUACUAUUCAUAGAAUUAUGGCCGAUGGACCUAUUUUUCCACUUUAUAAUUAUCCCUAUUAUCUUUCAGCUGACAUUGUUCCAUCGGCAACCCCAGCUGAUCAACCUAUAAUGCCAUCGGCCUCAACUAGCCAGAGGCGAGAAAUCGCCCUGAAACAAGUAAGUUACCCGAUCUCUAUUUCUGUCAUCACCAGUACUUGAUCAUCAAAUAAAUAAUUUCCCUCUUUCUUUCAGGAACAAGAUUAUCCCGACAGCCUGUUCUCCUUCGCCAUCGAAAUCUCUGAAGAUGAAGGUGAACAAGUGAGCUCUUCUCAAACAAUUGGGAUUUCAUCGGCAGAAAUCAGAGCAAAGCUGGAGGAUUUGCUGGCCCUGCUUCACAAGGAUACAGCCCAAUUGGUUGAUGACUCCGAUCCAACCAAGGCUCUAUUGAAAGCUCUCACAGGCUAGAUCUCUGCCGAUGUCGAGGAAAUCCUCUUCAGAGCCGCACACUUGGAAAGUCGACAGCUUCAGUACCAAAAGGCCACUCAGUGCCUUGCCGAUAGGGCCACUUAUGCCCAGCUUUCAGAGGAGGUGAUGAAGGUAAAGCAUCUUGCCGAUGAGAAGCAUAAGAGCAUCGUCAUUCUGAAAUCCUCAGGAGAGGUGCUGAAGCAAAAGAUCUGUAACCUAUCGGCAAAAAGAGAAGCCCUGUUGGCAGAACUUAAACAAGUGGAAGAAGCUCUGUCCCAAGCUCAACAUGAAGAAAGCCAGCUGCCUGAAGCAAUCAAGACUCUCAAACAGGAACGAAACAUCCAAGCUCGCAAGGCAUUGCAGAUGAAGAAGAAGCUGAAACCGGUGGAAGGUUCUGCCGAUGAAGACAUCAGAGAGAUAGAAGAAGCUGACCAAAUUCGUCUGCGUGCUAUAUCAGCCAUUCGAGCCUUGCUGAAUGUAUGAACUCUUCAUCGGCGGUGUACUUUGCUCUCUCUUUAAAACACUUUUGAUCAUUUUGGUCUAGCCGAUAGGACUAUUAUCGGCAUCCUUUUAAAACAUUGAGUCCGACCCCAGAUACACUUUAGUCCAGCCGAUAGGAAUGUUAUCGGCACUUAAACUUUCACGCAUCAAUCCAUAUGCUAGGAUAAUAUUUCUUUAAGUAUUUGCCAUUUAAUGCCCUGGGAAAUUCAACUCCUUCGAGAGUCUCUAAAAUAUAGGCAUUGCCAGGAGCAGAUCGAUUUAUCCGAUAGAGACCCUCCUAGUUGGGAGACCACUUCCCAAAUUUUGAACUUUUAGUCCUGAUCGGUAAGAUUAGUUUCCAUACUAAGUCUCCAUCGGCAAACUCCUUAGUCUUUACUUUCUUAUCAUACCAUCUGCCAACUCUCUUUUUACUUUCUUCUAUACUCAUCAAAGCUUUUCAGCCGAUGUCCUGCUAAAUCAUCCAACUCGUCUUUCAUCAAAGUAGCAUAGUCAUCGGCAGUCAGCUGAUCUAGAAAAGAUAGUCGCCUAGAUCCGGUUUUAAUCUCCCAUGUCAAUAUAGCAUCAUGUCCAUAUACCAACUGAUAAGGGAAACUUUGGUCGACCCAUGACAAGCCAUCCGAUACGACCAUAAAGCUUCAUUCAACAACGUAUGCCACCUCCUAGGAUUUUCUUCGAUCUUCCGUUUGAUGAGUUUAAUAAUUCCUUUGUUAGAUGCUUCGGCCUGCCCAUUGGCUUGAGCAUAAUAAGGAGAAGAAUUCAAUACUUUAAUUCCCAUACUGAUUGCAAAUUCAUCAAACUCUCCUGAUGUAAACAUAGUACCCUGAUCGGUAGUAAUCAUUUGAGGAAUGCCGAAUCGGUAAACAAUAUGCUCUUUUACAAAAUCAAUCAUAUUGGCGAUGUAACUUUCUUCAAAGGAAUAGCUUCAACCCACUUGGUGAAAUAAUCAGUGGCAACCAAGAUGAACUUAUGCCCUUUGCUUGAUGGUGGGUAAAUCUGGCCGAUUAGAUCAAUGGCCCAUCCCCAGAGCGGCCAAGGUUUAAUAAUGGGAUUCAUGGCCGAUGCGGGUGCCCUUUGAAUAUUGCCAAACUUCUGACAUCCCUGACAUCCUUUGAAAUAUUUAAAACAAUCCUCAAGUAUGGUCGGCCAAUAAUACCCAUUUCUUCUAAUCAUCCAUUUCAUCUUAAAUGCUGAUUGAUGUGCUCCACAUACCCCUUCAUGUAUUUCUCACAUCAAACUUUUAGCUUCAUCAUCACCUAAGCACUUGAGAAGAACCCCAUCGAUCGUUUGGUAAUAAACUUCAUCUUCGAGAAGCACAUACUUGGUAGCUUGAAACCGGACACGCCUCUCAACCUUCUUGGAUGGAUUCUUUAAAUAAUCGAUAAUUUCUUUCCUCCAAUCAUCGGCAUUAAUUGCCGAUACUGUGUUCAAUAUGGGCUGAUAUCCCGAGGCAUGCUGAGCCAACCGAUUAGCCUCCUCAUUAUGCAAUCGAGGAACAUGCUCUAAUCGGAAAUCCUUGAAUUCCCUUAAUUGUUGCAUACUCCUUUCAUAAUAUGUUAUCAGAAUUUCACUUCGGCAUUCAUAACUUCUAGCCAAUUGAUUUAUAACCAGCAUAGAGUCCCCGAAGAUUUCAACAACAUCAGCAUGAACUUCUUUUAAGAACUCUAACCCUUUAAUCUACGUUACACGAGUACGGGUACGGGUAUCUGAUACAAUACGUAUCGGAUACACGGAUACGCACUUUCUCAAAAAAACCCCCACUAAAAUGGUGUAUCCGAGUAUCCGUAUCCGCGUAUCCGACGAGUAUCGGAUACGGAUACGUCACCCCCUUAGAGUAUCCGUGUAACAUAGCCUUUAAUCAAUGCUUGAUACUCGGCUUGAUUAUUCGUCGAUGUGGCAACAAUCGACAAAGAGAACUCAUAUUUCUUUCCCUGAGGGGAAAUUAACACUAUACCUGUAACAGAACCGACCAAAUUAUAAGAGAUUAAGCCUAACAGCGACCAUUUGCAUAGUCAAACCAUCAGGUUUAAGCCCAUAUAAUCCCGGUAGUCCGUGAAAUCUCGAAGGAUUUCAAACCACACAUCGUACAACAGCCAAGAUCGUAAUAAGUUUAGCGGUCACCAUCCACAAAUACAUCCAGAUUACAACAUUCAUAAAAUACAUCGGAGUUCUUAAAAUUAUUACAAACCAAGUUCUUCAAGUAGCGGAAGCUUCAUAGUUCGAAAAUACGACACACACACUUAGUCUGAUACAGUGCCAUAGUUCGGUCAUUCCCACAAAAGCAAAGGAGAAGACGGAGUGACCAUCGCCCUUGGUCUAGUCAUCACCCAUGGGUGGGUACAGACAGAGGAUGCAAUAACCAAAGUACAUUUGACCAUCUGCAAAACUGUUGACGGUCCUUAAGUAUCAAAUUUAAUUAUCAAAUAAACAAAGAAAAGGAUCCAAAUGAAAUCAACAUCUAGACUUAGGGUUUUAUCUGACAGAAUUCCACGAGUUUUGGUGUUUGUCUAUUUCUACAGGGGGUUAUCAGGAAAUAAGGAAGAAAGGCCCACAUGUCAGGAUUACAUAGAGAUAUCAACGCACCGCGCAAUUUUCUACCAUCUAGAAGACUCCAGAAGCCACGAGACCGAAGCGGAGGCGAAACGGGGCCAGGACCUGGGCGCCCGCCCAGUUUCCUUGGGCGCCCGCCCACCUGCCGAGCCCAAUCAGGACUCUUUCUCUCGGGAGAUCUCCACCGACCUAUUGGAUCCAGAAUAACGUAGUACCACAUCGCCUACCGACCCAAAAACGCAUAGAAGGGGAGGACUAUAUAAGGAGACCCCCCUGGCCCCUGGAGAAGACAUGAAGAAAUUAUCAUAGAGAUUGAGGGGUGCCCUCAAAGGAAAACCUCUUCUCUAAUUAAUAUUUCUUUUUAAGCUUAGCAACCAAUGUAAGGUAGAAAUAGAACUUCUAGUUUCUACUAGAUUGAGAGAGAUAGAGUGGAGGUGUUGAUUGGAGGAAGCCCGGCCUGUCGGUGUCUACUCCAAGCUUGUACCUGCGGGAUCAAGUUCUCCUAACCCGAAGCUUGCUCCUAGGAUUCUUCAGUAUUUCGACUUCUAAAUUCUAGUAAGUUCUUGUUUUAUUGUUCUUAUGGUUUAUGAGUUUACUUUAAUCUCUUCGCGUGGAGUUUAGAGUAAUCAUUGCUAGCGUAAACGUGGUGUUUAGGCUGGGGUACUCAUAGAUAUUCCAUGACUAGCUGGACCGUGGUAGUAGUGAGGAACGUGACAAUUCCGAGUUACCUUUGUAGAUCACAUCUCGUUAGCAGGAAGGAUAGGGUUUAUAGGUGCGGGUUGAACAUCCUUUGUGGUGUCUAGAUUCCGUUAGCCUCCCCAUUAGAACAGUAGAUUAUCCUUACCAAGGUUAGAAGGAGACUACGGUUGCAGUCUUCUCUAUUUAUCACUCACAUCGAGAGACAUUCUUUGUAGCCUAAAGAGAUAGUAGCAAUAGAUUUGGUUAGUCAGAUGCACCCUUUCUCCCAGUGGUAAAAAUAUAAAUACGAUAACUCUGGAUAACCUCCCGGGUGAAAUGCUCACCGAUAUUCGUGCGCUUGCGGAUCUUUUCCUUAUUGCGUUACCAAAUAUCAACAAGCAUUUCUGGCGCCGUUGCCGGGGAGAAAGACGGUUUGCUGAGAUAACUUUGAGUCUUGCUAUUAUCUUGUAUUAUACUUUUAUUCUUUUAUCUUUUUAUUUUUAUCUUUAUGGAUAACUCAAAUUCCAUACCUAUUAUUAAAUUCUUUGCACCUUCGGAGACCAGCCAUAGACCAUGGGAGUCAACACGUCCUGCCCCUAAUUAUGAUCUGUGUCCGGAGUUGAUUGCAAUAGGUCAAAACCAACCCUUUUCUAUAGCUGAGGUCCUAUCUUUUAAUCAAAAAGAUAAUGCACUUUUAGCUACACCUAGGGAAUCUUUUAAUCUUUCUAUAAAUUCUGGUUUAGACCUAGCCCUAUAAAUGAGGUCCUAUCUGUUUUUCCUAGAUAUUUUCACAUUGGUCUUAAUCAUAUAACCUUUGGUAGAGUCUUUCUUUCUUUAUCUUUUAGUAAAGGAAGGUAUGUCUUCAUUCAUAGACAUCCUUCUUGCACUAGUCUUCAUAGAAAAAUCUUAGAGAUAGAGAAGGAAUCAUCUCCCAUACAAGGAGAGGAAGUUUCAAUAGCCGAUUUCCAAACAUUUCAAUCCCAUAAUUCGGCUAUCCAAUCCAUCCUUGAGCUUAAUAAUUUCUACUAUGCUUUUUCUCUUGAACCUCCCGAUAAUCCUAUGAAUCUCUCUAGACAUCCCAUGCAUAAGAAGGAGGUUCGAGAAGAGCAACAUCAAUGGCUAGAGGGCAUUAAAAUCCAUGUGCUAUCACCAUUGAAUGGAUAGAUGAAACAAACUUGAGAGACAAUCCUAGAGGAAUUUUAAGCAUUCAUGAAGAAUCAUCCUUGGAGUUUAAGAAUGAGAGAAACAACAAUGAGCAUGGAAGUUAUUUCAUAAAUACCUCACCCAGUCCUUGCUCAUGUAAAACAUCUCUCUAAUCAAUUUGUCUCUCCAUCCUUACCACAUUUGAGAUCUGCAACCCCCUCUUCCUCUUCAUUUAUAAAAACUUUAAAAGGGCGGUUGUCGAUGCAUAUGUCUAUAAUAUAUAUUGCAGAUCUCGUUGAGUUGAUCUUGAUAUAGGUAGGUGUUGGACGGGAAACCACUUCACCAACAUAACUUGAUAGUUUCCCAAGAACAAGCUUAGUGUCCUAAAACAAGCACCUAUUAGAUCACAACAUGAACUUCUAAUUAUUUGCAACAUUGCUUUGUGUAUUGAGCAUAUAAAGAUAAUUGUAGAAAUAUUCCUUCGGGUAUUCUUGUCACUAACCUUUCCAGGAUUGGAGCAAGAAGAUCGGAUGAAUGACAAGCACAGGGUAUGUCCAACCAACCAUCACACAACAUUGAAUUAAAUACAUCCAAACUUGAAUUUUAUAAAAUUCAAGCUUGGGGGAGUACUUUACAUAAAAACAUCUUUUGCCAUGUUGCUACGUUGGUUGUCCUUACCUUUGAGACAUGCUCAAUUUGUUAAAUACUAAUUACACUACUUCAUCUCCACUUAAGUAGAUCUCUAUAAAUGCUCUCAUGCUACCUUUAUUUGCUUUAGUAUAUGUCUAGGUUUGGAAUAGUUUCAUUUAUCUCUUAAUUAAGCAUGGUGCUUAGUUUAGGAAUGAUGAUCUUACUUCCAAGGGGUUUUAAAUUAAGCAUGGUGCUUAGGUUAAAAUGCCCUUCUAAAUCAAAUUAGACAUGGUGUCUAGGUUGAUUUUUAAGCCGAUAGUAUGCUAUAGUAGAUAGGGGAUAUUUUGUUGGACUAACCCCUGCAGGAAAACUUUCAAUAUCAACCUGGGAAGUCCUGAGAUAAACUCGCAUUGGAGAUGAAGAAAGUGACACAUGAAGUUUAAAAAUUUGCACAAGAAAGACGUGGCUCAUAAGAGAUGAUUCAUGGAGGGUGCCACAAACACGAUGCACAACCGCUAAGAAAGGAAAGCUUCCACAAGGUGAUACUGUACCGUCACUCUUCAAGUAAGGUAACACCUUAAGGUACUUGACUAUCGCUUUUAUAAGUUUCUCCUUGGUUCUAGCAUUCACAUAAAUAAAGAGACAAACAUGUAUGAUUUGUAACUCCAGAUUAACCAACACAAUUAAUUCAACAUGUUUAGUCCUUUAAUCUUUGUUCUUAGUACUACCCUCGUGAUCCCACGCUCCUAAACAUAUAAGCUAAUAUGUUGCACAUUCAAUAUUUGGAAGAUAUAAACAAAACAUAAAUAUAGAUAGAUUAUCUUUCCAUUAGGUUGAGCCAUCUGAUCUGACAAAUGUUUCAAAUACUACACUCAUGAUCUUAUUAUCCAUCAACUUUGUCUUGCUCACUAUGCUUAAGGUUAGAGAAGAACAAAUACACUUUUGGUUCUGUUGGUGUUUUCCACCAACAGAGCCCAUGCACUUGAUCUCUGCCUUGUCUCUAUGAACAGGUACACUUCAAGCAAAACAUGGAGGAGUUUUAGAACUCCCAGACUCCACCAAGUGAAGAACCUAGAUCUAUGAGCACAAACACACUGAGCAGGAUAUUGCCAACACCAUACUUCGAACUGCUGGGCAAAGAAGAACAUGGGUGACACCGUAUCAAGAGGUGCGGACUUCAAGGUCCACACCUAAUUAAAUGAUGCACCUAAAGGAUGAAGAUGGUGGAAAGUCUUGUCCAGAAGACUUAAAACAUUGGAUCCUUGUCGGAAGAGGUCAACAUCGUCGACUCAGGUCACCUUUCUUGAUCAAGAAGGACGACCCUGGUGUUCCAAGCAUUGAGUGCGCAAUCAAUGGAUACUCUUUUUAGAAGACACUCUACGACACCGGAUCUGACGACAACAUAAUGGCCGCAGUCACUUAUCAGCUCCUGCAUGGAACCAUGCCCCUACAACCAAUAUAUUCAGCUCCAGAUGAUUUUCAGGUCAUUGACAUGGGAGAAGACGAAUAUGAUCCACCCACCAUCCUUGGAAGACCGUUCCUCAACACUAUCAAAGCAAUCAUCUACAUUGGAACCAGAGAAGUCCACAUGCACUUCCCCUCUGAGAAGGUACGCAACUAUUUUACUGACCAUAACUAUAUAGUUGAAGACUCUAAGUAGGUCAGGACAAGAAGACGACGCAACCGCAACCAAGAGGAGGCAAAUCAUCAAGAACGGAUGGGUAGACUACGAAGGAAAAGUGAUAAGGACUGAAGUCAUACAGCUUGAACAGAACUGUCCUGAGGAGACCGUAGCACCGAGUCAGGUGUGGAGGGAGAAGAUAGUUAUACACAAAGAGAGGCGCCGCCGGAAUCACCGACUACGCCACCUAGCGAAUCCCAGGACGACUGAGAAAACAGAGAGUCCCGUUCGGAGGACAUAAAAAUACCGAACGUCUUGCCAAGAGGUAAACUUGGUAGUUAUCCUUUUCCUUUCAAUUAUUCAAUUAUAGUUUGCUUAGUUAAUCAGGUUCAUGCUAUCUUGAAAAGAAAAUAAAAAUAUUAAAAAAAUAGUAAGCCCCAUGUGAGUAUGCUCAUAAGUACAUUCACUGUGGUGGCAUAAAAAUAAAAUAAAUAAGUUUUCAUCUUAUAAUAAAAAUAUAUAAAAAAAUAAUAUAUAUAAUAAUAAUAAGUGUAUGGUCCUGCUAAAUAAAUAACAUUUAUUAAGGAUGCUCAACAUGAUGAAGGCUAGAUAUUUAUGCUAACACUUAAUUAGUUCCACAAGCUUUGUUGUCUAUUUGAGCUCCACAGAAUUUAAGAAUCAAGAAGACUAGCAGACGGAGGACAUUCUAAUCGCUGUCAGAAUGCUGCUGACUUUCAAAUACACCUCUGCCACCUGCUAGCUACAUCAAGAGAAAUUACGUCAAAAUUCAGCUUGGGGGAGAGCACCCCCAUUUAUCUCGCUAAGUAUUUCUAUCUAUCUUUAUACUUAUAUUAUGUUAGAAUAUUAAAAUACAUAAACUAUGAAAAACCAAAUAAAGAUUUUGUGCUUAUAUAUAUCUUUUGCUUAGUAUGUUUAAUAAAUAAAUAAAGUGGCUAUGCUAAUCUGAAUCUUAAUAAUAAAACUCUAGCAUGGAUAUGAUGAAUAGUUGCUCUGCCUAAUUUGCAAUUUUGAAGUUCCCUCUCAAGUUUAGACAUAACUGUUAUAAUUUAAAGCUUGCUCUAGAUCUAAACUUGUGGGAUGAAAACUUGAUCUGAAAUCUAAGUUGUUAACGGAUAUGAUAUGGGAAGGUUGAGCUGCUGUUUAUCUGUUCCUAGAGAUGCUAGAAUUCUGGAGAAUUUUAUCUUUGAAAAUCUUUGAAAUGUUGCAUGAUGAGUUCCUGUAUGAUGAGAGUUUAAAAUCCUACCACAGCCAUAUGUACAUGCUUGCUAGACUUUGAGCCACACAUUUACUAUUUACUGCUUAUGAGCAUUAAGUGUGGUCAAGCUGUGUAGACCCUUAGGAGCUUGUCAUGUGGUUAAAUCAAGAUUCACUUGCACGUUCACUCAUAUAUGCUACUUCUACUCCGGAAGUACCAUCCACAUAUAUCCAUCCAUUUCCAUCUCCAGAAUUACCCAAAAAUAUUCUACUCCUAAUCCGGGAGAGAAUAGUCAAAAACAUUUUCCUAUCCCUGUUAUUCCCUAUGAAAUAAAUGCUCCAAAUAUUUUGGUUACUACCACUUGCUAUAUUAUCUCAAGAGAUGAGUGCUCUGGAAAAAAAAGAAAGAAAAGAGAAGAAAAAGAAAUAUAAACGAGGAAAUAAAAAGGGGCAAGUGCCCGGAACCUCGAAAGAAAGAAAAAGUGAGACGAGAGGUAAAAAUGGACAAGUGUCCGACAGUAGAAUUAGGGGUACAAGAUACCCACCUGAGAGGAAAGAAAAAGAAGAGCAUCUCAUUCUCCUCAUAAAGUUUCAAAAAGCAAGAAGGUAUGUAUCCCCUCAAAAGAGCAAAAGUAGAAUUAGACUUUCACCAUUGUUAUUACGAUCAUCACCAUACACCAUUUAUUCGCCACACAUGCACAUCUUGAUUUGGCUUAUUGAUUUGUUUCUCUGGAUCCAUGGUUUGACUAUGCAAUAAAUGUCUUGUAAGUAUGUAUUAGCUGUCUCCCACCUAUGAGCUCCAGAUAUCAAGCCUUAUUAGAGUAGGGUGAGAGAGAAGGUAUUAUCACUAUGCAUUAUACCAAAAAUACCACAUACUUUGAGAGAAGGCAUAUACCAUUACUGCCUUGGUAAGGAUCCAGAAAUACCAUAAAAGAGAGACUAGAGAGAGUCAUACAAGGAAUCUCUGAGUUUUAUUUGAAAAUCUACAAAAAAAAAACCCAGAGCUAUAGCUGAUCAAGAAUAAGAGACAUGGCACUUGGCUAGACUAUUCUAUCUUUUAACCUCUCAAGACAGAAGUGACGGUUACAAGUCCCAUGGUGAAGGUAAAGUAAGUUUUAAGUGUUGACAAAAAGCAUGUGUACCGUCAAUUUUUAAAGAUAUUGCAACAACUUCUAAUCCAUUGCUAUGUCUAUCCUUGCUCAGGGAUGAGCAAAAGGUAAGCUUGGGGGAGUUUGUUGACGGUCCUUAAGUAUCAAAUUUAAUUAUCAAAUAAACAAAGAAAAGGAUCCAAAUGAAAUCAACAUCUAGACUUAGGGUUUUAUCUGACAGAAUUCCACGAGUUUUGGUGUUUGUCUAUUUCUAUAGGGGGUUAUCAGGAAAUAAGGAAGAAAGGCCCACAUGUCAGGAUUACAUAGAGAUAUCAACGCACCGCGCAAUUUUCUACCAUCUAGAAGACUCCAGAAGCCACGAGACUAAAGCAGAGGCGAAACGGGGCCAGGACCUGGGCGCCCGCCCACCUGCCUUGCCCAAUCAGGACUCUUUCUCUCGGGAGAUCUCCACCGACUUUUUGGAUCCAGAAUAACGUAGUACCACAUCGCCUACCGACCCAAAAAUGCAUAGAAGGGGAGGACUAUAUAAGGAGACCCCCCUGGCCCCUGGAGAAGACAUGAAGAAAUUAUCAUAGAGAUUGGGGGGUGCCCUCAAAGGAAAACCUCUUCUCUAAUUAAUAUUUCUUUUUAAGCUUAGCAACCAAUGUAAGGUAGAAAUAGAUCUUCUAGUUUCUACUAGAUUGAGAGAGAUAGAGUGGAGGUGUUGAUUGGAGGAAGCCCGGCU